GUUUGAUGGGUCUCAAAGCAGUGAUUGACAUGAAAUUUGUAACUAUGAUUUUGAUAGCUGAUACACUUGUGGUGUGCCAUCCGCUUCCAUGGACUUCAGAUGUCAGACCAUAAUCAGACCUGGUCAUUGAGAUAAUCUUAUCUGAUACUGGACUGUAAAACCAGCUUAUUUGUGCAAGGCGAACCCGAGCUGGAUUGAAUGAUGAGACGGAGAGUCAGCUUAUUUGUGUGAGUUGUCGAAGAUGGAGUUUAAAGGAGUAUGGCAUAACGGUGGUACCGUUCAUUUUUUCAACUUAUUGAAAAGUUCUUGAAUUAUCCAUGAUUCUUUCCUUGAAAAUAUAAUUCUGUUAUUAUUUUUUUAAAAAUAAAACAAUUAAUAAGUAUAUAUUGUUAUUCAUAGAUUAUAUGAUUUAUUCAUAAAUUAUUUAUGGCGGAUUCAAGCAGCUUUUUUUUGGAUUACAAAAUUAACGAUAUUAUUAUCUUUUACUGCCUUCCUUGCCUAUCUCAUGCUUGUUUUCACGUAUGUAAAUAUAUAAAUAUACUAGAGUGAAGUAGCAUGGCUUAUUUUGUUCACGAAAGCAAUAACGGUAAAUGCACCCGGAAUAUCCAUAGACUUUAUGUUCCUAUUAUUUUAUGUGUCUUAUGUUUAUAAAAGUUUUACUUAUCCAAAUUUUUAGGCAUUUCUCCCUUUUCUCCCCCAUCUUUGAAUCGUUGCUUUUGCCUAAAUGAGAGCCCAUGGGUCUCGUAGUCCCAAGAUUUUCAGGACCAAUCUCGAGUUUUUAAAGAUCCUAUAUUUAUUUUAAAAGGUGACUUUUGAUGUCACGAAAAUUUUAGAAUUACAGGAUCCAUGAAGUUCCAUGCAUGAUCCUUCCAGCUUCACUUUUUCUCUUCGUACCUUCCCUUUUGAUGGAAGGUAUUACUCGGGUCGGCUGAUUGAAUAUCCAAAGAUGCCUCACAAAAUAGUAUUCUUGGACAUGCCAAGUGAAACAAAGCUAGAAUUAUAGAAAGCCAAUCAGCUAACAAGAAGGGGGGGUUGAUCGGAAUGGAGAGCAUGGCCUUGCCCUUCCAACUACAAGACCUUUCAAGCUCAAUCAAGCAAACAUUUGCAGCUUGUUUGACCUUGAACCUACAAGGAUAUCUAUCACAGGCUGAGGUGUAACUCUUGGAAGCAUGGAUCACUGAAUCUAAACAAUCAAAUUUUUGCCUACAAUCUUCACCUUUUCUUUUCAUCAAUCUAGGCCAAUUUAAUAUGUGAGCAACAUAAUUAAUUAAACUCUUAGAUCCGCACUCUAGGAGUUAAAACUCGAGUGUCGACAAGCCUCUAACCGCAAGGAAAAGGAUGGAGUACGAAGAAGCAUCUCUUGUGUAGAGAGCUGAAUACAAUACUCUUAAUGGAGUACUCAUAAUUUUCCCGAGAAACAUCUCUCUCCUCUCGAUUGGAUAUAUCGGGCGGUGGGGGAAAGCCCAAGUUUUCCACUCUCCUUCGUUGGCUCAGGAGACGAGUGCACCCCACGAGCCUUCAAAGGUGGGAACCAUUCCAAGGCAUUGCUUGCAAGGCUUCAGCAGAUUCAGGUGAGGUUUCCAAGAAAUUCCCAUGGGAUGAGGGCAUCCAUGCAUCGAUAAGCAGCGGCGAGGUGGAAAUGGAAGCAUUUUUUUAGUGCUCGUUUGUGCUUCCCAAUGGAAAAGGGCAUGGAAGUGUCUACGCACUCAAAUGGAUUGUGGGUAGCUCCAAGGAGGGGAUGGAACAUGCCCAAGAAUAAAAAAAUAUAUGCCUAUGCGGAAUAUUUUAGGAAUAGUGUGAUAAUUUACUCUUAUCUACCUCUCCCAAAAGUACAUUAAAGAAAACUUUUCAUAAAAAUUGCCCUCCGCACCCACCAAGAACGCCAUGCAGUGACUCGAGGAACAGUGUCCAAGGGUGUGCGCUUAUUUUUUUUUUAAGAUAUACUUUUUUGUUGCUAAAAUUUUUUAACUUGUUUGCACAAUUAUGCAGUGUAACUAAUGCUAUGUGCCAUACAAUUGUGUAUAUCGCACUAUCUUGUAUAAUUUUUAAACUUUAUUUUUAUGUUUCUCUCCAUCUCUGUUUUUUCUUUUUUCUUUUUUUUGCUCAAUAGAAUGGUGGUGAGUUUUCACCUUACUCAAAAAAAUUAAGUAUAUAGUACAACCUAAAUAAUUUCUGCAUUUUAAAAUAAGCAUAAACUUUGAAUUGUAGAGAAUAAUUGAAUAGAGUAAAGCUAGAGGCACAGCCCCCACAAGACAAGCUACUUAUUUUUUAGUGGCAUAUGAGGAUUUCUGACCUCUUCAAUUUGCAACCAAAGAAACACUUUCAAUUUAACAAAAAUAAAAAGGAAUUGCAAAAACCCUCAACAAUCUUUAAUUAUAUUUACAUUUUUACUAUUUUUUAUAUCAUGAAGAGAGUUUGCUUAUAAGAAGGAAUAUAGUGAUCUCUCAGAUGAUAGGAGGUUAGUUUCAUGUAUUUAAACCUGUAUUCUAUAGCAUAAACAGAAUCGUGUUGAUUCCAUAAAAAGAACAUCACAUUAACAUAAUUGUUUCUUGCACAAUUGCUUUACAAUUGUCAAUACGAGAUGAAUGAUAACUCAUUCUGUUCUUAAAAGAAUGAGCUUGUUAUUAUAGAUUGAGUUGAGGAGUCCUUGCUUGGUGCAAUGGUAAAGGCUUAAGUUGACAAGUAUAGUAGCAUAGGUUCAAGUCUUGGGCAACCAUGCCACUUGUCAUGGAUUCACAGCUCAAAAGCUUAAGUUGUUGGGAGGAGAACUAGUUCUGGCCAACAAAACUAUGUGGCGCCCUUUUUAUUAGUCACUGUAGUAUAAUGAUAAUCUUUUUCUUCUAAUCUUAUGACGCUUUCAUUAUGGUUGGCUCCUACUCGAGAGAGGGGAGGCCUAUCCAUAGCCCAAGCCCUACUCAACUCUGUUAUCUCUUAGUGAGAAGUCCACAUGAUUAUGAAAGAUGAUGACAUAUAUAAGUCUGGCUUUGAUACCACUUGUCAUGGACUCAAAUCCCAAGAGCUUAAGUAGUUGGGAGGAAGACCGACCGAGGCUAAUAAACCCAUAUGGCACCCAUUUUAUUAGUUAAUGUGGGAGUAUGACAAUAUAUGGAAAAGUUAAAGAUUAAGUCAGUUCUCAGUUUGCCCCUUCCAGGACUCCAAAUUGCUGGACUAUAAUUGGAUGAUGGCCAAAAAUGUUUUAAUAAUGGGUGAGUCGUAUGUACUCAAACGAAAUAUUGUUUUUAAUAACUAUACUAAGUUGUGGUCAAUUGGUUAGAUCAUCUUGUUCAUAUAUCAUUAAUACAAAAAUUAUUAUGUACUUUGAGCUUCUAAUAACUGGCUCAACAUGGAUAUUAAGAUGUAGCUAUUUGCAGCCGUGACAUAAUCAAUGACUAUCAUCUUUUUCUAAUAACAAUGACCAUCAAACUAGAAGGUAAUAAACUCUAUUAUAUAAUAAUUACAUUAGGAAACGGUUCUUAUAUACGAAGGAAAAUGGAUAUGAAUGGGGAUUAAGAACAAUUUUAUUUAGGCCAAUCAAAAGACCAGAAAAUUAAGUGGUAAAUGCAAGAACAGUUUGUAAAAGAGUGUUUUGGUAAAUGUUGCAUAUAAAGCCUUCAAUGGAGAAUACCAUAUAAAUGGGAAGAAGAGUAUUCCUUUUUCCAAUAAGCAUGUAGAAGAAUGUUUCCACUGAAAUUAAAUUAAUAAAUGCAUAAGGAACUAAUAAGAAAAAAAAAACCAUGAGAUACACAUUAAAUUCUAUCUAAAGAGGAGGAUGAGAAGAAUAAAGGCAACCACUCUAGAUAUUAGUGGAACUCUGCUUAAAAAUGUAUAUCACAAGUUAAAGUAGGACUUGAGUAGAAUGAAUGCAUGUCAUGAAAGAGAUUAAAUAAGAACCAUGGGCUACAAAAUAUGCCUCAUAGUGGAGAACUUGUGAAAUGGAUAAUCAAUUUUCUUUAAGAAUUGAUGUUAAAAUAAAAAUUACUUCCACAAUCUACUUCUUGAACUGCACCUAUCCAUAAUAGCCAUUGGAUAGAGUGAGAUUCUAAAAGUUAUUAAUCGUUUUUGUAUAUUAAAAUAAUAAAAAGAUUGUUUUUUAAAAUCUUAUCCAAUUUUAAUCGGCAAAAGUACCCCUUGUUCCAUGCCAUGUAUGCCCUAUUUUUCCCCAUUCUUUGUCUGGUUCUCUCUCUCUCUCUCUCUUCCUCCCUCCCCCCACUGCAGGUUUUUAAAUCCUUUGAAUGAUUCUCUACUUGCGCUUCAUUGAGUAUUAUGUAUUUAGACAUACUGCUCGUGUUCUUGUGUGGUGUACAAUGCUUUGCAGUCUAUAGACCCAAGUGCAAGUCCUUAAAACUGCUGCGAGAGCCUAUCUUAUUUGGGCUUGGAUCCAUCUGAGUUAGGCCACUUAGCGUGCACCUAGCACUUGAGACAGGAGAGAAAAACUCCUAAAGGGAGUCAUCUUCCUCUCCUAGUCCGAUAAGAAAAGAGGGCCCUCUCUUCUCCUUAACCAUAGCGCCCUAAAACCCCAAUUAAUCACCAACAAAAUCUGUUGAAAUUCUUUUGGUUUCCAUCUAGAGUUCUCGGCAAAGUCAUAGUCGAUUCAUCACUGAAAAUGAGGUAAUCCACCCCAAUCCCUCUUCCAUACCUAUCUUCGGGUUUCUUGGCUAUCGUCGACGGCUUAAUUGGCCCGAUUGUUCUAGAAAGUUACCAAAUUUCCUUUGAAAUAGGGUCUACCCUAUUUUUCUUCUCUUUUCUUCUCUUUCACGUCGUUGCUAGCCGCCAGUCGUAGCUUGUCGUCCAGGUUGUUGCCAUUGAUGCUGUCGCCGCCGCCACCGGGUGGCCGGCCCUAGAGCCCUCUUCCUUUCUCUAUUUCAAGAAGAGAACCAUAUUUCUCUCUAUCUUUCUCUUGCUUCCUCAAUCUUGCUCUCCCUCCUCUCUUCUCUCUCUUUGGCACUCUUCCUCUCUCUACUUUCUCUCUUUCCCCCUCUAGAUGCCUUAAUGGGUUCGAAAAAAAGGACCCAACACUUUAAAGACCGGUUGACCCUUGGAGGGGUCCCACGCCAGAAUUGUGCGAUCAGUGGCUCUGAGUCGGUAUUGCAUAACCAGGGUUUUCGGGCCCCAUUGUACGAGUAUCUAUUCGUCCAACUAUAAUAUUUCAAUAUUAAUCAUGGUUAUUUAUGAUUAAUUUGACGAUAAGACUUGAUCAUGUAGAAGGACAAUUAUUUAGGCAAGAAUGUGUUGAACAGGACAUCCUAUCCCUGAGUUCAUUGAUCAAGGAGUGGACCGAUAUUCACUAUACUUGAGUCUGAGACUGGUAGAGAUAAAAAAUUUUGUACACAAUCGCCUAAAUAAAUAAUUUGUAUUUUGUAACAUGUGUCGAUAAUUUUAAAUUUUGCAUCAUUUACCGCAUGAUUGCUAACUAAUUUUUGACAUAAAUAUAUAAAUAUUUUUUUUUUAUUAUAGGCAUAUCAAAUAUCGAUAAUUUUGGUUGCUUAUAUUAUAAUUUUUGUUGUUUGGAAUAUGAUGAUGAUUCUUUUGGAAUUUGGCAACAAAUAUAGUAUGAAAUUAUAUUCUCUGGCAAGAAUGAAAUCGAAUAAUUUGAUUGUUGAUUAAAAGGAUUUAGACUAGCUAUGUUAUGAACUACCAAUCACGGGCCGAGUUGUGACACAUUGGUUUGCCAUCGCAGGUCGAAGCGCAGAUGUUAUAUUUUUCACCUCAUGCUAAAAUGUGGAUUUUUUGGUUUGCCAUCAUGGACCAAAGCACUAAUAUUAUGGUUUGCCGCCAUGGGCCGAAGUGUAGAAUUAUAGUUUGCUAGUCAUGGGCCGAAGCAUGACCAUGGAUGGCAAAAUCAGAAAGAUGAUUAUUGAUCAACAAUUUGAUUAAAAAUGGAAGAUAAGUUAUAUAAAACUACUAUUGAACAAACGUUUUAGAACGAUGAUAUAUCUGACAUAUUUUCUUGAAUGAGUUGCAUGUUUGAUGAUGUACAUUUAUAUGUGCAUAUUUAUAGGGAUGCAUUUGAGCUAUGUUGAAUAAUGGGUAUAAGAUUUUAUGAUUUUGCUUGCAUUUUUGAUAUGGUUUAUAAUUAAUCUCUAUUUUAAAUUUACUUUAUCUAUAUUGGUGUGAGUGUGGAAGAUUCUUACUAGAUUGUAAAGCUCACACCACUUUUUUUUUUCUUUCAAAGUUUCAGGACAUGUAUUCUCGAUUGGGUCGGGUGUAGAAUUCAAGCGAUGGAGUCAUUAGAUAUAUAGUUUAUUUUUCGAUAGUAAAAAAUAUUUGAAAAUUUUGUAAUGAACAAGUUUAACUAUUUGAUUAUGAUGGAUUUAUUUAGUUGGAUUAUUUGGCUAUUAACUGUUGAUUUAAAUUUUUGUAGUAAUUGGAGACUUUGUUCAUUUUAUAGGCCUCGUAUAAUCUUUAAGGCAUCGCUCUAGGAUUUAUGCGGCCAUGUUAUAUAGUCGACUCACAUGAUGGAUUCGGAGUAUGACAACUACAAAAAAUUAUGCCUCUAAAUUAAAAAGUACUUAAAUUAAAGAAUACCAUCUAACUAUAAUGUCCUCUGGCAUGCAAACACGAAGCUUUCAUUAUUGACGGAUGAAAUUUGUUAAACCUGAUAUAUUAUUGAUUUUUUUCUCAGUUCAAGUUUUUGGAAUCAAUUGAUUAGGCAACAAAGAUCAAUUCAAUUUUAGUAAGUUGUGGACAACCCGGGGCUUGGCACCAAACAACAACAACAGUAAAUAAUAAUCUUCUAUUGCAUAGCAAGUGCUAAUUUAGUGUUUAGGUUUUGGCUAUCCAAAAGAAUCAAGCAAAAAGGUAAGAGCAUACAUUCUUUUACUAUCAUUUUACGAUUUUCUUUUCAAGUUAUCUCCAACUUCUGAUAUCUAAGCAACUUAACUCUGAGGGCUAUAUUUUUUAAGGAGCAGCAUCACUCCACAAAAGGGGAAAAAGAAGAAGAAGAAAAAUUUAACAUGAAAAGGAAAACAAAGCAAAUUCAAGAGCAUUAAAAAAUUAAUUUGCUUAUAAUACUGAUACAAUAUUCCAGUCUAGAAUAAGUUCGGGUACCCGAAUAUCAUGGUUUAACAAGUGGAAAAUUACAGCAUCUCAAGCCAAAGCAGGAUUGACAUGUGAUAACACAAUGGUUUAGGGAACAGCUUGUAACAAGAGCAAUGCAAUAGCAGCAAGCAAGCAAGCACGCAAGCUCGCUUUCUUGUGACAUUAAAACUGCACCAUCUUAUAUUGUUAAUUGAGUUGCCGAGGACCACCAUCCUUUUAUUCAUCCAACUGAACUCAGACUAGGUAGGCCUUGAAACCUGUUUGCAAGCAAAACAACCUCAGCUCAGAUGAUUUUUGGAAUUCCAAGAUAGCCGUAGAAUUUUUUGGCUGCCAUAACGACCAUGCUCAGAGAGAGCGAAGGAAGAGAAAGGAAAGGGAAGAGGUGGGGUUCAUAGUACUCAGAUUUAUCAUAGUAAUUUUAGGCAAAUAAACUCAGUGAUUAUUUUCUAUUUUAGUAGCAAAUCAUUACUUAAUGAAUCGGUGGACCAGCUCACCAGGAAAUAACUUUCGCCCAUCUGCAAGCUCUGCAUUAGAAUUCCAUACUCAUUGACAGGAAGAAGGUCUCCAGAAGAAUUGACGAGCAUCACAUCUUGGCCAAACAUGGCUCUCAGGUCUAUUGGGCCCCUUGGAACCUCUGAAGGGACUCCAUUGAUGAAUACGGUGAUAAUCCCUGCAUCCAUGAAUUCGAUGUUAAUUGAUCCAGGAUGGCACUUAACCGAUGAAAGUAUUUCUCUGACAUAUACUGCUAAAAAUUCUUUAUAGUUUUUAUGUUCAUCAUGCAUGAGUCACUCAUUAGUUCGAAAUUUGAGUAUUUCAUUAAUGGAUGUGGAAGAAAGUUCCGCAGGCAAGCACAGAGAAAAUGACAUCGGUAUGCUUUGAAGAAGUUUUUUUACUUUUAGCCUAAAAAGAAUAUGAAAAAAGAUAUCCACUGUUUUCCCACGGCAAAAUCAACCUCCACGUCCAAUCAAUCAAUCUUCUGCUUGUAUUUAGGUUCACAAAAAGUAAAAAAAAUAGCAGAAAAAAUCAGUUUGGUUACUACUGUGUAGAGACACGAAUAACACAAAGUGAUCGAAGAGAGAAAAGAGGAAAUUAAUUAGAAUUUAUUAACCGAUGAAAGAAAUUUGGUACUGGAGAUAUCAUAAAAUUAUAUCAUUAGUUACAUGCAUGACCUAAAUCUGGACAACUAUUUCCAACUUUUCUAUAAUUCCUAAUCGGAUGCUUUUAUUAAGUUGCAAAAGGGGCACAAAAAAAAGAAGAAAAGCAAUACUUUUGGCCGGGUUAGAGAACAUCAAAAUGACCUCGAUCCAUAAAUAAAAGGUUUUAAGUGACAAGGAUCUACGAAAAAUUCAUAUAUGUGCCGCCACAGUGGACUCACAUGGAAAAACAAGGAUGGGAACAAGAAGUCAUAUUUGGUGCGGAUGAUAAAUAAUUUAUUAUCAUGCUUUUCAAUCGGACUGAUUGCAUUAGAAAACUAAAUGAACGGACCAAACUUUUGGUGAAUUUUUAACUUCAGAUCCGGUAGAAAUGAACAAAAAGUAACAAUCUUGACUAGAAAACAAAGUUCCAAUCAAUCAAUCAAUCAAUCAACUUUGUUUGUGAGCGGAGAGAAUCUGAAAUCAUAAGGUGUUUCAGUUUGGAUAGAGGAGAAGGAUGCGGGCAGCAAGGGAGCACAUCUAUCCUCAAGCAACAAGCCGAUUCUUUGGAGAAUUGAAGCAUGGGAACUUGGUCCUCCUUGAGUUCCCUCCAUCCCAAAUUAUAGAGACCACCACCCCGAACAAACCAGGUCUCACGACACAAAGCAAUUAGUACUGGCUUCAUAUAAUAUCAAGAUGAGGUUAUAGAGAAGACGAAGGGCCAUCACUUAGCCAUGCGCUCACCAGGUUGAUAGUGUAACUGCGAGACAUCCGAAGAGUACAUGAAUGGAGUUUGAGUAUUGUCUGCGAAACCCAUUUGGCGAGAGAUCGAGAAGAGAUCGUCGGCGCUGUCAUCCCCCAUGAAACUAGAGGAGGAAGACGAAGCUGAAGAGGAGCAAGGAAAGAAGCCCCCACUCGAAGAAUUGGAAGUCGAUGUGCUGGAGGAGGUGGACGAACAGGGUUCAUACAUAAUUGCACCGCCGACUUGGUGGGCACCGGCCGCGGCUCUCGGAUCGGCGGCGAGCCCGGCCUGCAGCUGUCGCUGGCGGCGGCGGGACCUCGACCGCCGGUUCUGGAACCAGUAGAACACGUUGGCGUCGCCGACCGCGCCGAAUUUCUCGAGGAGCUUGCGGAUCCUCACUGUCUCGUCCUUGGGGGGGUUCACCAUGCCACUGUUGAAGAUGGAUUCAAGUAUGAGGAUCUGCUCCGGCUUCGGGGUCCACCGGGAACGCACCGGCUCGGAGGCCGGGGUGGAGCCACGGCCCGGGCUGUUGCUGCUGCUGCUGUUGUUGUUGUUGUUGUCCGGGGUCUGGUCAUCCAUGGGUGAGGGGGACUGGAGAGGGAGAGGAGGUGAAAAGGAAGGAGACCAAAGUCAAGUGGGAUGAGUGUAGGUGAAGGGAGGGGUUGGGGCAGGGGGAGGUUACAUAUAUACAUGAAUAAAAGGAAGAGGAGAGAGUCGCACCAAGACAGUGUUUGCACACACGCGGGUGUUGAGGUAUUUAUAAGCCCUGUGUGAAAGAAUGUCCCUUGGUGGGGUUAUGAAAUUAAGGGAAUUUUAAACAUCCUUGGCUUGGACAAGUAGAUUACCAAUAUGCCCUUGAUUAACAAGAAUUUUGAUGCAUGUAAAUGUGAGAAUAGGUUUGUGGCAUACUAGGAAUCAUAUCGGUGAUAAUCACGUUUAAUGUCAUGCAUGGAUUGACAUUACCAUUCUUCAUUGGAUUUAAGAUUAUAACGAUAGUUUUUGUGAAUUUACAGAUCGAUCAUCAGCUAGUGGUAUUGAUUUAAACCGGCGGUCAAUUGCAUCGCUCACUGCAAAUUUAUAUGGUAAAAAAUAGCAGAUACAUGUAACUGGGAUUAGAUAAGAAGGAAGAUCAAUUUUUAGUGAUGAAUUACACAAAUUAAAGUUAGUAUGAAAAAGAAAAAUAAAUAGUUAGAUUGAUUUAGGAUUAACCAGUUGCUAGUGUUAUCUUAAUAUUGUGCUAGUUGGGUGUCAUUUGUCACUAUUUCGCACUUGCUUGCUAAAAUGUAAACCUUCGUCAUGCAUAGCUUCAUGCAUAAUUUUUUGAUGCAUCGUAGUAUCGAUGCCUAAUUGGAAAUAAUAUCUUAAAGGUUUUGUAUUUGGGAAAAUCGCUUUCGAUCAUGUGUUAGUGUUAUCCCCUUUGAGUUGGUAGGAUAUCUGCAUGCUAAAAUUGUGCAUAAGCAAGCUUAUACUAGAUGGAAUGUUAUGCACUGUAGUCACAUAGCAAUUAGAGUUUAUAUACAAUGAGCCCACAUCCAUAGAUCAGUUGGGAAGCCCUCCUCAAGUGUACUUCCCUAAAAAGGCACUACCGUCAAGUUCUUGAGAUCCAAUACAAUGCAAGCAUAUGCCCUAAUAGUUCCUUCCAUGGUCGACCUACAUCCAUCUUAUCCCCAAAAGGGGGGUCCAAGAAAUAGGAAAGAGCAAGGGAACAUGUGGGGCCACUUUUGGCCAACCUGACCUUAGGAAGGUUGAUGGGUUUCUCAGGUAUCUUGUUGGGGUUCUUUCGAUCACAUCAGCAUGUGAAAGAGAAGGGCCACAAAGGGAGAGGGAGGUAGGGUUUGGCUUUGCACCCCCCGGGGGCAUGUGAAGUUAGGGGAGGUGCAUGGGGAGCUGGGUCCCCUCUGCACUGCAGAGGGAGGGCGGGUUUCAAAAGGGAGGGGAGGAACAAUCCAAGAAGCAGUCAAAGAACCGCACCCUUAAUUUAGUAGGGCUGACGUUGUGUGGACGCAGGGCCAGAAGGACAAAAUAAAAGGAGGGCUACCAUCACAUAUAAUAUAUAUUUAAGAAAGGUGGUGGGUCGGAACUUGGAAGAAGGUGAGGGGAAAGAGGGAGAGAGGGUGGAGGCCAAGGGUUGGCCCAAAGAUCGGUUACUUCUGCCCUUUUUUCACAGCACAAGCCGACGACGCGGAGACUACGGAGGCUUGGUUUUUUUUUACCGGGACUGACCCCUGUCCCCUUCCUUGGCCGCCCAAGGGCCACGGUAGUUUCUCUUUAACAUGACACAGCUUUGUCAAUGUCUCUCGUUGGUUAAAACUUCUAAAAAUUGUAUGUUCAUAUUAGAACUAACAUCAUUUGUUUCAAGAAUUAUUGAAAUUAAGCAGUUUCGAUAUGUUGAGGUUUUUCGAAGAAUGUAAUUAUAUCAUGCAUGCAUGGCAUGCAGUUCUAUGUUUAUAUAUUGCAUAUAAUAUAUAUACGCACGCAUGGAUGCAUUUAUUAUUAAUUUGUUAUAAUAUUUUCUAACGAAGCGAUGAGCCAGCUUAGAAGGCUUAAUUUUCCACUAGUAUCAUUCCAUCAACCAUGAAAGAUAUGGAAUGCACUAUUACGUACACAUAAUUGUUGCAUGAUCUCAAAAUGUCCCAUUAAUUUGAAAAUAUACAGGUAUAUNNNNNNNNNNNNNNNNNNNNNNNNNNNNNNNNNNNNNNNNNNNNNNNNNNNNNNNNNNNNNNNNNNNNCAGUGUUGUUUUCAGCUUGAUUUUAAACUUAUAAACAAUAUGCAUCCAACCCAAAGUGGUACGUGGUUUGUGUUUUGAGUGGUCUUUUUUUUUUCUUUUUGCCACUGUUAUUUAACAGGUAACUUAGUCUGCAGAGUCUUGUGAUCGAAGUAGUGAUAGGACGAUGUACUCCGGCCAUGAUAGUCAUGGAUCAGAUCCUGCCCCUCCCUAGCAUGCAUGGGGAGCACAUCUUUAAUUCAAUUUUUUCCUCUUUCAUAUGGUCGUACGGUUAUUAUUAGUGAAUGGUACAGUGCUACUUUUUUUUUUGGAUUUUUUAGAAUUGAGAUGGAAGAAAACUGGGUCAAAAUUCUAAUAUUAAAAUUUUGCAAAUUAAUUUUUUUAUACUCAUUUUGUAUUAAUAGUUUUUGAAUUGAAUAAUCCGAGAAGGUUUGUGACAAAAGUGUUUUUGAGUAUUGGUCCGAGAAGGUGAAGCCAGCAAACUCAUCGAAUAAAGAAAUAUAAAUCCAUGUACGGCUGCUGUUUCACACUUUAUGGACAUCCAUGUUUGCAUGUCUCCCUCUGUUCUCCCAUGGUAAAUAGGGUUUCUACCAUAACAUAGGCGGUGAGGAACCCUCCUAGCUUAACUAUUAAAAACGUAUUGUCACGUUGUUGAAUCAUGGCUCAAAUCCAAAUGAGACUGUGGCGUUUCUCACGGUUGAUUGUUAGCAUGAGAUGUCGGUGUUUUCGUUCAAUAUAAUUAGAAUAAUUUAUGUAAGUAUAUAUUUAGUUUCAUAUUAACUAUGCAUUGGAUAGAUUUAUGAUACUUAUACGAAACCAAAAAAUCCAAAUAAUAUAUUUUGGAUUUUUUUUUGAUAAAAUUUUGAGUUAUUAUAAAUGGUAUCGAGCGAACCUAGCCUAUGAGCUAUGUAAAUUAGGAGAGAUUAUAGCAUGACCCAUUUGGACUGAAUAUGAGCUGAUCAUGGUAUUUAUAAUUGGAUUUGUAGUACUUGCGAUUUGAUUUAAAUAGAUUUGAACUCUUAGCUUGGCGAGAAUUAAUGACAAGGCUUAACUGGAGGAGUAUGUGAUCAAGAAUCCGUAUGAACAUGUGUUUAGUUCUACAUUAGCUAUGUGCUAAGUAGAUCUUGGGUACUUAUACAGGACUAAAAAAAUCCAAAUAAUAUCGCUCGGUUAGUCUUUUUUUUGAUGAGAUUUUAGGUUAUUACAAUAAUAAUGUAACUUAAGCAAUCCAAGUACCCAACAGUUUAAAAAAAAUAAAAAAGUUGCACAUCUUCUUCACUAUGGCAAGAGUUAUUCUUAGCCCCAUACAAAUAUAAUUAACCAACUAAAGUCCAAAUGGAACCACAGUAUUUCUGCCGGUCUUUUGAGUGUUACCAUGAGAUGUUGAUCUCUUCUACCUUGGAGUAAAAUAACACCAUCUAUAGAAUCAUGCAUUUGGCGGUGAUGAAUUGAGACCUAAAUUCCUUCACCAUGAAGGAGGGUUAUUUGUGCAAUAAUAUAUAUAAUUCCACCUCAGUUUAUAUUCUGAUCCAAAUAUUUGGCAAGUAAAAGACAAACCGCCCGAUGGAAUCCGAUCCUUCAUAAUAUGUACCCACUCUCUUAACAAAAUAGUGGGAACCUGCCUAACUCUUGCUUUAGUCCACAAGAAAAGCACUACCAAUAUUUGGGCUUGCAUGGCUCUUGCUUUAAUUAUUAAGUCGCAAACAGCACCCUAGAAACUAGGGCAUGAGGAGGAGCUAAUGAUUUAUUAUGGCAGUAGAAGAAGCUUAGUCAACAAAGUCAGAUGGGUGACAUUUGUCUGUUUGGUCGUACUUUUAUGGUUCUAGUUUUUUCUUUGGUCUAUUUAUGAUGAGAAUGUAAUCAACAACAAACCCAGCAGGUCUUCAAUCACAGGCAUGGCCAACAGUCCAUACUUUAUUAGACUCUUAUAUGAAAAGAUUCCUAAUUCCUUUGGUAUAUGGGCCCUCCAUGUGCCAAACUUUUGAGUGUCACCUCACUUGAUAGUUAUGUGUUCAUUUUAGUACCCUAUUUUUUUUUCUUGUUUCUGUUUCCUUUCAUUUUGAGAGUCUCUAAGAUUGUAUACAUGCAUUGUAUGCAUUUUUACACUUGACUUUAAUCUUGUGACACUGCUCAUUUAGGCUCCCAUCUACUUGGUGCAUCUCCUGAAGUCAUUGAUGGAUAUUCGUGCUGCCUCAGGCCAAAAAUAUAAAGUUGAUAUGUAUAUUAAUUGUUCAAAAAAGAAUAUUUUUUUCCUAACUUAUGAUAACCUAGUUAUAAUAUUUGCUCAUAAAGUAUGACCGAGAUGGCAUUAUUAAGGAAACAAACUUUUGGCUACAUGUCGGAGGCUAAUCAAGCCAAGUAGCUAUACGAAUCGGACAUGUCUGUCUAAACUAUAUGCUGUUUUAAGUGGCAGCCAACAGCAGCUGCAACAACAACAUUUUUAAUAAAAUUUGUAACCUAUCUUGCAUAUGAUGUCUAUAAUAAUGUAUACUACUGCAAAACAUUUGUUACAAUUCUUUCUCCAAAAAAAAUAUUCCGAAAACUCUCUCUCUCUCUUCCCUGAAUACUUGAAGUCUCCGUUUACGUUAACCAAGGUAUAUGACAGAAUUGCUCAUCAAUGAAACCCAAAAAUAGAUAAUGAAGCUUUGACCAUGGCCAUUGGAUUCCUUCUAAUCACGAUCUAGACCGUCUGACGAAUCUGCUUCCCUUUUCGACCUUUUGUUUCUAGAAAGAUAUAAUGCAUUAAAAAAAGACACCUUACCUAGGGAACAUAAAAAUUUAAAAUCUAACAAGUGGAAUAUCAAAGGUUAUCAUGACCUUGUUGCUCAUGGAUGAAGCAAAACGAGGCUCGGGCUCUAUUUAUCGGACAUCUUCCUACUGUGACCUACGUCAUCCCCUCUUAGUGAAAUAGAUGACGAAUCGACAAUGAUGCUUCCUCUUUCCACCUUUUCUGUCUUUAGAAAAAUAUAACACGCCAAAAGAUACGUACUUAGGAUUCCUUAAAGCAAAGUACUUGUAGAGAUAACCUCAAAAAAAUUGAAAGUUAGGAGAUGGAUAGAUCAUUAAACAAAGGGAGGAGUUUUCUUUUUUCUCAUUUCUAACUCUUUUUUUUGGUUGUUGUUGUUAAACUGGUGUACAAGUACAAAUCAUGGAUACAAAUAUUCUUGUUCCCCAUCUUUUCUCCGCAAAUAGAGCAGAAUCUAAUAAGUGAAGACUGGGGCCAACCAAGGGGAAGUCCGGUGCAUUCCCCCCCCUCUUAAAGGAGCCGAGGUGCACUGUUCUCUAAAGCUAUAAAAAAAUGGAAACAAGAAGAAGAAAAAAAAUUGUGCCUCCCACUCUCUGUGUGCUGCUGCUGCUGCUGCUGCUGUUUGGAGGGUCGGUCGCCACUUCUGCCGCCCACCCUCUCGUCUCCAUGGACUUGAUCUGUCUCGGUUUGGGGGGGUCUCGAACGUGCGGAAAACAAAUGGACAAAGGCCAACCCCUAAGCCUUGAUGCAUGUGAGGACUGAGGACUCAUAUAUUCCAUUCAGUGUAAGUUGCUUUAUUCUCCUCGCUCGUAAGCCGGCAUGACAGAGGUCGGCUAGGUCGGUUGGUGCAGAAUCAAAGCCAAACCACCAUACAUAUACUCUUCUUUUUUUGUUGUCUUUAAACUUAUCUAUCCUAAAGUUUUAAUGUUCUCUUCGUGCAUGUGAUUUGUACGUCAGCAAGUUUGUACAAAUUUAUAAAAAUGAGUGCUCGAACAACAUGAUCAACAGAUGCAUGCAUGCUGUGUCAUGCCACUUGCUUGCUCGUGCUUUGCCCAUACUUGUUUUUUUUUUUUUGGCACGUACGGCGACUCACACACAAUAGAUGUGGGUUCAACCCAUAAAAUCAAAGAGGAUACAAAGAUACCGGAACCAAGAAGUGGUUAUCCUAAAUAAAACCUCCGAAAUGCUGAGCCACAAAGGAUGCCACCCAGUCAGCCGUACUGUUCACCUCUCUCUAGACAUGAUUGGCCCGAUAGAAGGUGUACUUACCCAAGAGUCAACGGAUGUCAUGGAUCAGUUGCAUUCUGCCGGCUGCACCGCCUGAAUCCUGAAUCAACUCGAUCACCAUAGUAGAAUCCUCCUUAAAGACAAUGUGGUCCGCGCCUAGCACUCGCCUUGUGUAGGAGACACCCUCCCAUGCAGCUCUGACCUCAGCCCCGACUACAGACUGCUUGAAGAUCCGACGACCCCCGGCCACCACAAGUCUGGCCUCCUGAUCUCUAGUGACAAAUCCGGCGCCUCUGCUGCCUCCGACUUCGCUGGCACCACCGUCGAAGUUCAUAUUGAGAAAGCCAGAAGGUGGGGGCUCCGAGGAUACGAAUAUAGUCCUGGACGCUACAAGAGCAGAAUGAGUGCUCCAAAUUUUCCUUGCCAGCCCAAGGAACGACGAAGCAACCAUAUCCUCGAUCUCUGCUGCAUGAGUAAGAGCUCGGUCCACCACCAACCUCGGGUGCGUACCUUUAUCUUCGAAAAUUCGGGCAUUUCUAUCUAGCCAGCAAUGAUACGUCAGAUAAGCUGCCCUAAUCCCCUGCUCUACUCUGGCCGACCUCCAGAAGGAAGUCCGUAGAAAGGUCAGAAAGUUCUCAAUCGACAACCACCUCUGUGGCAGACCGGCGGAAACUGCCGCAUACUCCUACAUUUGAACAGCCCGCUGACAUCCAAAAAGAACAUGGAACACCGACGCAAGGAUGGGAAGGUUUUACACCAACGCUCAUGGUAAAGAUAUAUAUAAACAAUUGAUUAAAGAAAACAGGUAUGCUUGCUCACUUUUGUGAUAGAGCCGAAGUAAGGUUGGAGAUGUUCACGACAAGCUACUAAAUGAAACGAAUGUUGUUUACCGAGUGAGUCAUGAAAGCUCUUCGAAGGAGUGGAAUCAUGCGAGGCACGUAGUGUGAUUUAAGCAUCUACCAUGCUCAUAUGUAAAACUACCUAGCAAUUCCAUACAAGAGUGAUGGUGAAGAGAACAAAGAUGCAAAGUACAUAAACUAGCUUUUGUGACAUUAAAGAAGUAGUAGAUGAUUGGAAAUGUUCGAAAUGUUUAAUAAACUAUUUUGCUGGAAUAAUUUUCGAAAAUUGAUAGGCAGCUUAGGAGUUGUGAGAGGGGGAGGUAUCGACCAACCACAUACGUACUUCAACACCCUUAAUUAUUGGUAAGAAUGUGUAAUUAUUAUUAUUUAGGCACUUCAUAUGGCCUACCUGUAACAAGAAAAUACCUAGUUAUCAUCAUUUCCUAUAUCUUGUUCAAAUUCUAUAUAACAUUAAUUCUAUGAAGUCUACCAAAAAGAUUGAAGAUAUUCCAAGACAUAUGGUGGAUGAAAACAUUUAGUUUUUCUCAUGUGCAGAGCUAGUUCUGCAAUAGAAAAAUAGCCAGUAGAUUAAGAGAAAAAAGAAUUAGAGUACGCAAACAAAACUAUAAUGACAUUAGAGAAGAAAAUAAUUGUAAAAAUAGUUUGGGAAGGGAUGCCCUCCAUUGUAUAGCUCACUACCUACAAACUAUUUUCUACCAAAAAAAUAAGUGGGAUAUUAGAAUAAUCCAAAAAAAUAUAAUCAUAAAAUUAGAAGCAGCUAAGGUAAUAUUGUAUGUUGUGUGAGUGCCUUUAUGAUAUAUGCUUCUUUCAAUAUUUUUAAAUACUAGGAAGAUACCUAAUUAUUGCUAUGUAUAGUAUUUUGAUCAAAUGUAAUUAAAGGGAGUUAGGAAUACAAUAUGUUUGUACAAUGGACUUUAUUAAUUACUUGUGAGCAAAUAAGGUGCCAUUUUAUUUUUUAAAAAAAUCAAGGAACUAAUGAACAUAGCUGCUUAUACUAAAAAACAAGUCAAUAUGGUUCCUCCUAAACAAAUCAUCCGCAAUCAUCUAAAUCUUGAGACAUUUUUCUGACUAAUUAUUUAUCUUAUUGAGAUUGGUAAUCCAAAGAAAUUCCUCUAUGAGAAUUUCAUCUUAUACAGGCCCAGCAAAACUAAACAAAUACUGGUUUCAACAUAUACAUGGUAUAUAGAAAGUUCCAAACUUCUUAGUCACUUGAUUCAGUUUGCUCCAAAAUGCAAAGUAACAAAAAUUCAGAAUCUUUUCUUUGUCACGAUAAUGUCAAAAAUACCAAGUUGGUUCGUCCAUCUUUCUUUUUUGUUCGUUAGAGGCCUUUUGAAUCUUCUCAUUUCUAUUUUUUUAUUUGUUGUUUUUUUGUGUAGAAUCUAUAUUUGUGGGACAAAUUAAUUAGUUUAUAAAACGCACGAGAGCCAAUGGAGAAACACGUAACUGGAGCAUAUUAGAUACUGAAAAGACACAUCAACAUACAUAACCGGUUAAGAACUUACAACAAGCAAAUGAAUAUCUAGUUUGAAUAAAAAAUAUAAUUAAUUAGUUCAGAAAAUUAGAGUGUUGGAAGUUUCCCAGCGUCACCGAGCACAGCCAUAACGAUAAAUUCUGAAAAAGUUAUUCUUAUAAGCCGUGGCAUGGUGUAUAAGAUAACGUAACUAUUACUCAACCAAGGACUGUAAUAGCAUGUAUGUCGUAAUGUGCAAAAAUGAUACCAAAUUAUGACUCUUCCCUUCAAGAUAUAUAGUAAUAAGCAUGGUAUGAGGCUAACAUGCAACUAAUAUUUUAUAUUAAAUGAUAAGUAUACACUCUCCAAAAAGAAUAAUAAGAUAACACCAAUUCCAUGAUUAGUUGAUGCGUUUAAUUUGGCCUUCGAUGGUGACAUCCCAAACAAAUUUUACCUACUUUCUCCAACAUAGGUGCCCACUAAUGAUUAUUAUUAUUAAUUUUUUUAAUAGAGGUGCAUCAUGUAAAUAUUUGGUCCGAAAGCUCUCUUUCUUCCUCUCUUCCUCUCCCUCUCCCUCUCCCUCUCCCUCUCGAGCGAGCGCCCGUGAAGGAAGGGAGGUUGGAACAGGUUUAUAGUAGAUUAAGAUGACAUGAAACAAGUAAAUAAAGUGACAAAUGAUUGAAUUGAUGCAAUCUAUAACUAUAAAAACUCGAAUUUGAUAUAACCGAGGCGGCUCGUGGUCCCCUGGUGUAAGCCUAGGCUUCAAACAAGAGACUUGCAUGUCGAUUUGGAUCGGAUGUAAUUGUUUGCAUUAAAUUUGACCUCACCUCAAAUCUAGGUAAAUAAUCCAAUGGAAAAGGUGUUCAAGUGAGCCGUUGUAGAAUGGCAAGCCCAAAACUUAGACCCGUUCCACAAGGGUUGGCCCUAGGGUCUUCGCCAUUCCUGGUUGGCUACAUAAUUUCAUGUGAAAACUUUGAGGGUCUAUUUGGCUGCACGUUUAAGUUAUGCAUAGGAUUGACCAAAUAUAGGCUGCCAAGCGAGAUGUAAUGAGUGAAUAAAACUAGAUUUUCUGUUUUUAUUUUUUUAUUUUUAAAAAAAGGGAUGAUAAAGGAAUACUCCUUAUAAAUAGGGACACCAUAACUCAUCUUUCUCAAAGGAAUCCCUAAUUCCCGUAUUUUUUGAUAUAUUGAUUGAUUGUUUUCUCGAUGCGAUACUUCUUUCCUUGCUUUGGCCGCCACUGUUGAAGGGAUUAACACCUUAACCAAGCAUCCAAAUAGCUCCUAAGUUCCACCAUUGCACUAAUAAAAUUAUUUAUUAUUUUUUCAAAAGAGAUAGAAAAGAAAUGUCACUACUUGGAUCAAAUAUGGAACAUCUCCUUGUAAAAAAUGGUACAUUAGCUAAUGGUACAUUAGCUUGAGCAAAAAUGUUUAUAGCUGCAAUUAUAAGUGACAUCAUGGGGCCAUUUUAAAAUUAAAAGGAAUAGCAAAGUUUCACCCACCUCAUCAUGGAGAUGGAGGAGUUCACGGUGCGCAAAAAAACAAGGAGAACAGCCGAAAACAGAAAAGUUACAAAGACACAUGAACGAUUAGUUGAGCAAGAGAGUCAAAACAUAAAAAUUAAUUUAGCUAGGAGUAGAACGCGUCAAGAUGAAAUAGACAAUUUGCUAAGUAGAAGGCAUUAUCUUCAAAUGAAUUUUGUUGGAAAAAAUUGCACGGUGUACCUGGCCAAUGUUUGUAAAUCCUAAGUACAUCUACUUAACUUACGUUUUAUUUUUUUUUUGGUACAUGACUGCUCACACAGCUCUUGUAUGAGUACAUUCAAUAGAGUCGAAGGAAAGAAGAUGGCAUAAAGGUGGAGUGGCAACAAUAUAACAUGUCCAAAUGACUUCUCCCGAAAGUUUUACAUCAAAGAAGGAGAUCCAGUCUGCGGCUCUGUUCAUUUUCUAGUAUAUAUGAGCAGUUUGAAAAGGGCCGCAAUCUUUUACCAGCUUGCGAAUGCCAUUGAGCAGUAGGUGUCAUCCCUUCGGUCCUCGUUCCGUAUCCACUCGAUCACCGUAGCCAAAUCUCCUUUAAGACAGAUGCUAUCAGCCUCUAAAAUACACCUCGCGCAGGUAAUGCCCCCCUAGCUACUUAGCUUAUGCAUUAACAUAAAUAUCUUUGCUCUUUAGCCACAAUAGGUGGCACGCGAACUAUUUAUGGAUUCCAAAAACAAUUAUUAUUUAGUGAAUAUUAUUACAUUAUAACUCAUUUUUUAUCCAAUUGAAAUGAAAAAUGUCUCGAAUUAAGAUCUCACACUUUCUUUAGAGUAAAAUAUCAAAACAAUGCUAUUAUUUUAUUUUUAUUGCAUUUUAAGAAGUUCUAUUUUGUUUUCAUUGUUAGUUAUUAUUCCCUGUUAUACAACUAAUAUUGAAUUUGGGGAAAGAAAAGUCAAAAGCUAAACUAGGUCAAAAAGAAAUCCCAUAUAUCCUAAAAUAUUAUUUUGCUUGCAAUCAAUCACCUCAUUGUCACACACUCCUUGGCUUGGAUUCUUGCGGUUGUCUCCCACCAAGAACAUGGUGUUUGGUGAUGGACAUUGACUUUCCCUUUCCAAAAUGGAUGAAUCCAUGGCCAUCAACGAAGUAAAUGUGCUCACCUCCUCCUCUUAUUGGGGCCAUGGCAAGACCCGGCCCCUACUCGCAUGGAAGGUCUGAUCUGACCGUCCGUACACGCCUAGCCUUACUGGGGUUCAGAUCGAGGCCCAAGUCCUCCCUCCUGCAUGCAUGAAUCAUGAUGCGACUCCAACGGCCUACGAGAGCGCCACGACAUGAUCGUAUACAUAGCCAAAGCCAACCUGCAGCUAUCGCCCGUGUUCCAUGCACGUGGUGCCUCACAUGUCUUGGUAACGUGCUAGACAGCGUAAUUUGCGUCGCACCACCAAAUGCACCAAGCGAGCAUAGGAAUGAUUUGUGCUUCAAGAGCUUUCCUUCUUGUCAUCAAGGAUAAAAUCUCCUCCAACAUGUGCUAGUAGUACUUGGAGCAUGGCCCAUGCAUGAUAUGCUCCAAGGAUAAGUCGAUCUCGCAAUGUCGAUCACAUGUUAUGCUUUGUAAUUAGACAAGAUCGAUGUACCAUGAGAUCAAAUAUGGGCGCAUAGCAUCGUGCAUGCAUGUUCUCAAAAUGCAGUAGAUUUGACUAGCACCAUGCUAGAUUGUUGAAUAUAUAUUCUUGAUAGGCUAGCUAGCUAGAGAGUUAUAGGUAUGAUGCACAUUUAUCUUGAUGUCAAUCUGCAAUCCUAGUUGUAUCCAGCUUAAUAGCUAGAUAUAAUAACAAGAGGAAAAAACUCCCCUCCUUUUUCCCCUGUUAGAGCUGGUGAUCGAGAAACUUGGAAAAUGUCCAUGGGUGCUCGGUAGUGCACAUCAUCAUUUUACCAGGCUCAUCUACUGGUGGCUUCACGCUUAUCAUGCAACCAUUAACUUUGCGCAUUGCAUUAUUUUUUUUUAAUCAGUGACACAAUUCUUCCGUGAUAUAUGGAAGAAGGAACUUUUUCAUGUGCAUGAAACGGGUACACUAAAAAGAAACUACUAGAAAAAUUAACUUGGUGCAAUCGUGAGAGUGCGAACCAAAUCUCUCAUCAAAAAUAAUCUAGAAGUGGGGAUUGAGGUCAGGCAUGAUUGCUGUAUGCCGGGACUCGGGAGUGGGCACUGGUUUGGACUCGAUCGGGAUUGGCCUCUUUUUCUAGUAGCCACGACGGGCGUGGCAAUUCGCCAGCCUAGAAAUCUAAUUACUAGGUUGUUGAGUUGGGCGCAUGAGCUCCACAAGCUCGCGUAGCUUUUGUGUCCGAUUCAAGAGAAAGUCCACUGAUUAGAUGGCUGGAAGCAAGAAAGAGCCGACAGCAUUAAGCUCCAUGCGUGGCUUAACUUUGGUAAUGACCCCUUGAUGGGGAACAUUCCCUACUUCAUUAGCCAACACCACGUUGGCACAUGACAUGUCGAACCUUCUUUGGAGAAUUGCUCGGGAUGCAUUGAACUCCUGGCUUCAAUUGUCUAAUCAAGAGUAAGUGGAUGGUGGUAUUAGCUUUUUUCCAUGUGGGAUUAUUUUUUUUUCUCCUUCUUCUUCCAUCCAUUGUGGGAUCAAAGACCGAGAUGGCUUAGAAUGUUAUGAGAAGGUCCGAGGAGGGCGAUGGGUUGUCAUAAUAUCAAAAAAAACUUUAGAGCAUAAUACUUCAUUACAUUUUGGCAAUAAUUUGUGGUGAUUGGCAUAUGAACUCCAUUUUCAGGGGCCAAGAAAGCCUUGUUACCUUUUCUUGUUCAUCGAAGCCUCGACACCAAAGUUAUAUAGCCUAUGAAACAUGGAUCUCAUAUGAUAUGGUUACAUUCAUGUCUCGAUUGCACAAAAGUUGAUAGCGAAACCUAGGAGAAGAGAGAGGCUUUUCAAAUGUGAAAAUAUCGAAAUUACAUCCACGGCCAUUUCUUCAUUGAGAUAGCAUAAGUGAAAAAGCCUACCUCAUUAAUCAAGGUAUGGGCUUUAGGUUGGCUGAUUAGCACGGCUCUCUCCAAGACUCCACCUUAAAGAGGUCUACGAUUUUUGGAAAAAUAGCUACGUAGAUCUUACUUUACAUUUAUUCUUGUCUAAAAUGAAGUCAAUAAAAUAAAUAAUAUCUUAUGUGCCUAAAAAAUUUCUAGUAGUAUACUCUCUCUCUUUAUUCGAUACAAGGGAAGAUAAUUUUUGCUUCAAAAUAUUUAAAAUGGGAUGCGGCGCAAUUCUUUCUCAUCAUUGUAACUUUGCAUGAUUCGCGGUAAAUAAUUUUUUAAAAAGACAAAGUGAGUGGAAAUAUUAUUUGACACAUGAUGCCAUGAUUUGGAUGCCAAAAUCUAGUAGACAAAGAAUACUCCUUUCUUUAAUAUCCUAAUUUCUAUCCAUCUUAUUUUAAGUGAUUAUACCCUUUAGCCGCACCAUACUCACUAUUUAAUGCCUAAUGGCCUUUGUCGUUAUCAAAUAUUUAAGUUCUUGUACUUUUAAUGACUCUAUAUUUUGAAUUGUUUUAAUAAUUCUAAUGAACUCUUUAUUCUAAUUCUAAUGGUAACUCACUUAUGACCUUAAUUAGAAAUCUUGCAAACUAUGGUUGUGCGCUCUUCGACACUUUGACAUAAAUUGGAUCUUCAUUGGUAGUCUAAUAUUUUUCAAAUUACAUUAUUUUGGUAGGUUUAAUGAAGAUGCUAGAAAAUUUUCAUGCCAUGUACCUAUGUUGCCUCGUAAACUUCAUUACAAACAAGUAUGGAAAAAUAGAAAUGAAGUUGCAUUCCUUGCUAGAAGAGAGCAUUCAUUGCAAAAAUUUAUUGUGCAGCUUUAGAGUUAAUGGCAUUUUUGCAAGUAAAGAUAUCGAGCCAAUGCAAUGUUUCUAAUAUAUUUGAUACGAGAGUAAUGCUAAUAAGGCAUACAAUCCCAUAUUAAGAAUGGCAACGCCUUUCUUAACACUACAACUAAGUCAUAUGUAGUUUAAAUGGUAACAAACAUGCUUGAUGGAAAAGCAAGGAUUUUAUAAAGAAUUGCAACAAACAUUUUGAUAAAAGGAGCAUCCACCAGUAUAUCAUUAUCUUCGAUGUCUAUAUCAACACAAUUUUCCGCUUAUUCCCUAUCAUUCUUAUCCAAGAUGACACCUUGACCAAUUUUUUUUUCUUUAUAGAGGUGGCGGUCAACAAUCUCUAUGCUAUAGAGUAAUCUCCAUAUUAUCCAUGUCAUCCAUCGACAUCUAUAAUUUUAUAGUUUUUGGUCCUUAAGUUUUUUUAAAAAUAAUAAAAAAAAUUUAUAAAAAUUCUCUUGAGGUUUAUAUUUAUUAUACUUAUCCUCAAUAGUUUGUAAAAUUUACACUUUCACCUAGUUAAAUUAAAGGUAUUAGUGGAACUGUUUACCUCAUAUGAGAAGUCGAAGUUGCCCAUAGAUGGGGAGAGGGAUGCAUAUAUUUUUUUAUGUCCUUGAUAGCUGAUAUGUCAAUCAAGGUUAUUUUGGUCAUUUCUGAUUUAUUUUUUUUUGACGUGAUAUUUGGGUCCUAUUUAAGGUUAACAAUUUGAUUUAAAGUAUUGGAUGAAAAUAAGAGGGAUAAACACAGGUUUUUCAAAUUAUUGAGCGUAAGUGUAAUUUACUCUAAUUUUAGGAGGAGAACUUUAUAAUUUACUCACAAAAAAAAAACAAAAUAGGAAUCUACUAAAUAGUAGAUAUAACUCUUUGCUUUCACUCUAAAAUGAUUCAGGAAGAGAAAGGGAAGUACAGGAGUAGACGAGUACCUACAAAAUAUGUCUCAAACUUAGAUAGCAUCACAACCAUCCAUCACAUUCUCUCUUCUCUCGAAUGGAUGUUCAUUACUUAUGCCACACUCUAGCCGAUACAGUGAGACAUCACAACCCCAAAGCCUCAAUUAGUACCCAUCUUUAGGUCACACAAAGAUCCUACGGAUCCUAGACCGUUGGCCAUAGUUAUCUCACACAAGAUGGGCAAAGCGCAAAUGGUCGCAUGCCUUUCUUUCAUAAGUCUUGUCAUGUCUGAGGCCACCCAACAGACUAACAAAACUCCUGCUAAGCCAUCGCCAUAAAGAGUGUGUUUCAAGGCUAAAGCCCAAGUUGUAUUCCACAAUUCUCUGAAAAAUAACUGAACUAUUGUCAGUGUUCAGAAUUCUCAAUGACUUUAUCGUGGGAUUUGAAGUGUUUUGAUGUUUAAACCGAUAGUACCCUUUGGAUGUACUUGCCCCAUUUCUCAAGCUUGGGACAGUUGGGCCAAAUAUUCUAGAUAUGAAUCUUGCUCCAAGCUCAAUCUCCACCUUUCCGUGGCUAGAUUCUGGGUCAGAUGGUAUCUUGUAGUCUUGAUAUCUGAGUAGCUCAAUCAUCAAUAAGCAUAAUUCCUUCAGAUUAUUAGCAUCUGAUCGGAUCUCUCUCCCCGAUUUUCCAUGAGAUUACUAGGAGACAAGGAGAGGGGGAAUCAUUUUGGCUGUUUUCAUGUGCAUGGAAAAGCCUCAAUGCAAUUCUUGAGCUUGCCGACAUAAUGAAAUGCCUAGAUCCCAAGAAGCCUGCAGGGAACACUAGAAAAGCACACAAUUCUAACAGCUAGGACUUUGCUUGUAACUGGAAUAAAUUUUUUUGGAUGGCAUAAUCUGUUCGUGUUCUCUCUGAUUACUUUGACGAUUGGAUGUAGGGUUUUUGGGGUCUACCCCUUGGUUUGUGGUCCUCCACAAGAUCUAUAGUUAUUCAAACAAAAUGUCGCACUCAACCCAUUUGUUUACUACCCUCAAUGCCUCUCACUAUCCCCAUUAACUGUAUGUAUUGAAAUAUUAGGAGGUAGAAUCUUCAAGGAUAGCUCACGAAUUAGCGUAAUUUAGUCGCAAAUCCUGUCAUUAGAAACCAGCCAACCUGGAGUAUAAAAAAAAAUGAUUUGGAAAAGGUCCUUUCAACCAGGAGAUAAGUGUUUAUUAUAUGUCAAGUUGCAUGGGGGAAGAGAUUAGCAUGAAGCAUCAAGCAGUGGAGGUUUUCACCUUCCUAAGCGAGCGAGUUUAUCAUCCUUAUGUCUUGGCUAAAUCUCGAGGAAGAGAACGACAACCAAUUCAGGAUGACUUAGCAAUGAAGCUCCAUCUCAGAUUGAAAGGGUGACAAGAAAAGCAAAGCACACUUGAUCUCAAUUACUAAAGAGACAGAUCGAGGGAGUCACAGUCCUCUUCCUCUUAAUGUUAAGAAGAUUGGUUUACAAACACUUCUCUUCCAGAUGCCAAUGGCUUACAACUUCUGCAAACCAACAUUUGACUGGUUUCAUGCAAUGCCAUAAACCAGACAAUUCCUUUAGCCAAAACAAUGGAUUCUGCUGUUUAGAGCAGGGGUGUGCUCUGAACCAGCUUUGAGAAUCUGGAUGCCACAAUGGUAUCUAACAGGAAUAAUGAAUACCACAACAUGAACCAUCAUUUCUGUUCGGUCAAACCACAAAAAAAAAAAAACAAUGCAAAGGACAUGGCAACACCACCGGACAUGGUCUGAGCUUCCUCCUUGGUCUGCAUCAAUGGAACCUCAUGUUUACUGCUUUAUUUAGGAGUCCAUAUUAGCUAUAAAAUGUACAUGUACCUAUCUAGUUGCAUUAAUAGCUCUAGGAAAUUAAUAUCAAAUGAACUUCGAGUUCGAAUGUUACAGCUUACAUACUUCAAAUUACUUUAUCAACGGCCAAUAACAGAAAUCACAAAAUAUAUUAAGAAAAAGAAAUUGGAAGUAACAAGGAAAGUUUUGACUCCAAUAACACUUCAUUACAUCCAUAUCAUUUGAAAUGAAAACUCCAUCAAAGUCCACAAAUAAUCAAGCAAUGGUAGUUUGACAAGGUAUGCCAUAUAUCACUAAUUUGCAUUUGAUUUAACAAAAAAAUCAAAGAUUAAUACACACUGUGGGAUUACAAAUCUAUCUCUUUGGAUUGGCAAAAAGCUUGCAAUUGGCAAGAUAUCCAACUUACAGCUGAAAGAAUAAUAUACACACAAGUGCAAAAAACAAGAAAAACAAAAAUUGUCAUAUAAACCCCUGCUGAGGUUGUGAGAAUGUACUCAUUGGAAUUUCUGAAGCAGUAGCCUCAUUUAAAUUUCCAAACUUCUCUAGUUCUCUAGCAAUUUGUAUAUCGCUGGGCAUGAAAUACUCAGUAAAAGCCUUCAUAGCAAAACGAGGAACCAUCCCUGCUACCGUAAUGCCGAGUAAUAACAACCAAAAUAAUCCAGUCCCCAUUACAUGAUAGAUAGACCUGGCACCAAAACAAGGCAUCAGCAACUGUGCUCAAGGUACUCAUAAAAGCAGUUUCCUAUGUUGCAGUUAUAUAUGCUACUUUGAAGUUUGAAGGCAUAUAUAUGUGCUUAUGCACCAGGAAUACACAUAUGAAAAACUUUAUACAAGCAUGUGCAUGGCCAUGAUGGUUAUGCUAGGUUCCAACUGCCUCUGAUAGAAAUUCACAUGCUUUAAAAGUGUAAGUUAUUAGUGCCAUAAGUGGUAGGUCAUCAAAAGAGUCCUACAGAAACACAUAAUUACAACAGAUACAUGCAUAAAAUGAUAAAUUUGGGAAUGAGGAAAUACCAGUAACCCGGCAGUACUGGUAUGGAGUCUAUGAUGAUGACACAAAUGGCCGUGGCAACUAUACAGCCCCACAUAGAUGCAUGUGUGAUCCAAUUCCACCGAAACACAUCCAAGGCCAAGUGGAUGUUUACCAAAAUGACUACCGCAAGUGUCCAUAUGUCUCCUAAGCUGGAUCCAUCGAUGGUGCUGUGUCUGUAUGCAAGAAAAGGGAUGAAGAAAAUAGCCAGACUUUGCCAAACAGUGUCCAUCAUAGUUAGGAUGAACAACUUUAGGUUGUAUCUUUCUUCCCUUUGACCAGAACCAUAGAGCUGCGGGUACUUCAGCAGUGUCUUCCUACUCAGAUCCUUGUCCAGAAUUCCAACGACAAUGGUAGGAAGAGCUGUAUAGAUCACGGAAUACAACACACUACUCCAUUCAGUUAUUGCAGUCGUCAAGCUGAAAGCUGUAUAGAGUACAUACCUGCGGAUAACAGUCCAAAUGUUCUGUCAAGCAUUUAUAAUGGGUGAGAAAUCAAACAGAACAUAAACUAUUAGCUGUUAAGAGCACAGAUCAUAGUUUAACAUAUGGAUUUCAGGUUACAAACAUUAUCACCAAGGCUCAACUACAAAAAGAAUGUGUUAGGUUACUUUUAUACUUCUGCUCUUCAUUUCUAAUUAAGUACCUAUAAGGACCCGUGCGGACGUGUGUUUAGUCUCACAUUGGUUAUUUUCCAGAGAGAUCUGGGAUACUCAUAUAGAACUAAAGAACCCCAAAAAUAAAAUCCUUCCGGCUAGUCUCUUUGAGUGAGGUCCUAGGUUGUUACAAAUGGUAUCGUAAUAGAUCUAGCCCAUAGCCUAUGUGGAAUAGGGAACACUGCAGCAUGGGUUCAUGGAGGCUGACCACGGGCUGAUCGUGGUGCUUAUGAUUAGACUUGAAUGGAUUUGAACCCUUAGCCUGGCGAAGAUGCCAGGACUUCGAUAAGGAAAGUGUGAGGAUCCGCGCGAGUGUUUGUUUAGUCCCACAUGGCUAUGCACUGGGUAGAUCUUAGGUACUUAUACAGAGACAAGAAACCUAAAUAAUAUCUUUCGGCUAGCCUUUUCAGGUGAGAUCCUGAAUUGUUACAAAUAGUAUCAUAAUGGACCCAACCAUGGCCCAUGUGAACUAAGGGACAUUGCAGCAUGGGUUCAUUGAGGUUGACUACAAGCCGAGAUUAGAUUUGAAUGGAUUUGGAUUUUUAGCCUGAUGAGGACGUCAGGGCUUAAACGGAAGAAUAUGUGCGAACCCGUACAGACGUGUUUAAUCCCACAUUGGUUAUUCACUAGAAAGAUCUUGGGUACUUACAUAGGACUAAGAAAUCCAAAAAAAUACCUUCCAGCUAGCCUUUUUGUGUGAGGUCCUGGAUUGUUACACUACCAAAAUGGUGGUCACUUUAAUAAUGUGAUUUUAUUGACUUAGUGAGACUACAAUCCUAUAAGGAUGACUUAAACCUACAUUUUGCAAGCAUAAAAUAAAUAACAGGAUACCGAAAAUGGAAUCCUACAUCAGUAGUCAUGAUCGAUAACCUCUACAUUAAUAAAAGUAAAAUCAAACGCUUUGGAAGUUUCUGACUAGUUCACUAAAAGGUCACAACAUAGACAAUAUCCAAUAAGAUAGAUGGUUUGGUUUCUCAUACAAUUUGAAGCAUCCAAACUCACUGAAAGAUGUAUUUUAAGAUGACUACAUCAUGAACAAUUGUUUUGAUCCCAGUCUAUAUGCCUACAAUUGGCUUUAGAGUUUCCAGAUCAGUGCACCAACCUAUGCAUAUGAUCACCUCAUGUCUAUUAAACAUGGAGGUGGCUCACUCCAUCCAAACAGGCGGAUAUGUGGAUGCGACCCAUGUGCCCGGAUCGGCAUAGAUAUGGACAAUAAUAACCUUAUCAACCGCCAAGAAGAAGAGAUUUUUUAUUUUGUGGGGGUUGGGGGCGUGGGGGGGGGUGGGUUGCACUAAUAAACAUUUUACUUAUGCAUAAAAUCAUCAUGAAAGAGCUAUUUAUUCAUCUUAGUACGCACAAUCAUAAGCAAAUCAUUUUUCGUUUUUGAGCAUGAUUAGAUAACCAUUAAUCAUUGAGGAUUCUUCAAUUCUUCUAUUUCUAAAAGUUUCAUGACAAAUCUAAAAAAGAUCCCAAGAGAACAAAAGAGCACCAUUUGCAAUUAACAUUAGAGAAUACCUCUCAAUCUUCCAAAGAUAGCCCAUGAUUCCUCUUUCUGUGAUGAGAUAUUUAUUAGGUAACAAGAAAGCAAAAGAUGUUAAGUAGAUAUAUUAAGGUUAAAAAUUAUUCUGGAUUGUUCCAUUGAAACCUUUAUUUCUUUGGUAUAAAGACUAUGUCAAGGAUUCCAGAAAUUUAAGCCAAUCAUAAGUUCUGGGAAAUGAAAUUUAUGCCAGCAGUUUCGUGGACCAAAUCUCUAUACCAUUACCCAUGAAAGCAUCCCUGAACAUGCAUUGAAAUUCUAUAAGUUGGAUAUGUAACCAAAGUUUUAAGUCCUAGUGGGAUGGGUGUGUCUUGACUGUUCCAUCCCGUUCCUAUGAGAACACUAGGAUGGGAGUCGGGGCUCCUAAACCCAUCCACAUGGAGAAAGAAAAAGAAAGAGGAAAGAAAGAAAAGAAGAAAAGAUGAAGAAAAAGUAAAAGUGAAAGGAGAGAAGAAAAAGAAAAAGGGAAAAGAAAAAUAAAAAAAGAAAGGAAAGAAGGAAGAACGGAAAGAGAAAGAAGAAGAAAAAAGAAAGAAAGAAAGGAAGGGGUAAGAAAAAGAAAGAAGAAAAAUGAAAGCAAGGUAGGUAGAAGAAAACAAAGAAAGAAAAGAAGAAGAAAGGAAAGAAAGAAUGAAAGAGAUAAAGGAAGAGAGAAGAAAAAGAAAGGAAGAAAAGAAGGAAGAAAGGAAAGAAAGAAAAAAAAAGAGAGAAAGGAAGGCAGAAGAUAAGGAAAGAAGUGGAAAAAAGAAGAAGAGAAAAAGAAGAAAAAGGAAAAAAAGAAAGAAAGGGAUAAGAAAAAGAAAGAAGAAGAAGAGCAAAGAAAGGAAAGUAGAAGAAAAAGAAACAAACAAAGGAAAGAAGAAGGGGAGAGAUGGAUGGUACCUACCGGGACACUCGACCGGAACUGCCGUCGAGAUGGGGUGGGACAGCGGGGUGUCUUGUCCAUGGAGAAACCGAGAUACCCCCAUCUCAUAGAAUUUAAAACCUCAUAUGUAACACGUUCUGAUCCUACUCCUUUUCUUCCAUCAUGACAUAGAUGUAUUGUUGAUCCAAUGACAUGCUAUUUUGUCAUAGAAAUCAUCAUCUGCCAUCCAACCUUGCCAAAUCAUAACUUACUUUGUUCCCCGUAGAUUCCUUCUCUAAAUAAUUACUCUUUAGACUUUUAUAUCAAGUCCAAAUAAAAAAGGAUGGAGGGUUGAUGUUAGGUUGACUGCGUGGGAGGCCUUUUAAAUGUUGUCUACUACUUACGGAGCCUUUCCCAUCAAUAUGCACAAACUGCAACCUCCCAAAUACCCAAAUGCAUUGAAAGAUGACUUCUUGUUUAAUAUAUUCUCGCAACCAAUUCCUUUCCUCAAACUUUGACAGAUGUCCCUCCUCUCUAACAUCAAUGAAGAAGAAUUGGGCAUUGCACCCUCAUCUUGUUACAAAGUAAUUCUGUAUAUGCACCCUCAUCUUUCCAUAACCAAAUGUAUGCCAAAUGGUCAAUCAACAUACAAUCUGCAUAAAACGAUAUCAUGGUAGAGCAUGAGCUUUAAGAUUCACAUCUGAGAAUAGUAAUGAACGUCAGUUCCCCUUUUCUGGCAAUCCUGCCUCUAUCAUAGUUUGCUCCUAUCUUGCCAUACUCAAAAGGAUAAUGAACCUCAACAAUGAAUCACCUAAUUGCACCAUCACAUAAGUUCCGACCAUCAAGUUCUUUUGUCAGUACUCGAGUGAUUUUAGUUACCAGACUAAUGAUCUCCGAAAAUCCAUAACCAAAGAUCAUAUUUAUCUCCGAAAACCAUCCAUCUCACCUCAAUUGCAUAUCAUUGGUCUCAACUAUGAGGAAGGAAACUCAAACACCACCAUUUCGGUCCUCAAAUUCCUAAAAUUAAGGUUUCUGACUGCAGAAAAAAUGCCCGGAUUUUUAAGCUAGAAAACAAUUACCUAAUUGAAACAAUAUUUAUGUAUGCUUCGUCCUUGUAUGCAGUCAGCUUGCAUUAAGUGAAACAGGUUUCACUAGAAAUGAUAAGGUUUCUUCAGCUCCACUUUGUUUCGUCAAUAUCAUAGAUAGAUGGUGCUUAAUAUUCAUUGCAGUCUUGUCGACACCUUUGGAGUCUCUGGUAAAUUAAGCUGGGUAAAGACAUAUAGAGGCUUGUUUCUGAAAGGCCACCAUGAUUUUGGUGACCUGGGUAAAGACAAUGCAGAUAAUUUCUAAAUUAAGCACAAUGCAGGUUACCAAAACCUUAAGCCCCAUAAGGGUGCCACAAAGGCUUGUUUCUUCCUAAUCCCCCCCAUGGCUCAGAAUUGCAUUGAAGACCUCAAUUUCUACAUAAAACUACCUAUUCUAGGCAUAUAUUAUGCUAUUGGUUAUUUCCAUCUAAAGAGAAGCAGCAACAAUGUGUCACCCAUAACAACCUUCCUAAAGGCAAAGUUAAAAUUCUCAGAUAGCAAGGUAACUUUAGAAGGCUUUUCUUCUUCUUUCUUUAUUUAUUAACUUUUUUUCUUAAGAUUGUGAUGUUAAUUAACAUGUCCAUCUACAUGAAGCCUAAUUUGUGGAUUUUUUAUUCAAUAUAGUUUUGGAUGUAUUACCCAUAUAAGAAACAAUAUACAACAGUUUAAUGGAGAAACAGUUCUACUUUGUGCUUCAUGGCAUCCCUUUAAUGCCCUUAUAUUAAAUAUAAUUCAUCAAGUAAAUAUUGAUAUAUUAAAAGAAUGGAAGUAGAUGAACAGAAGAGGUUCGAGCAAAAAUAUAGUGAAGUUCAUCCUUUGACACGUGUUCAUUAGUUUUUCAAACAAAAAAAGUAUUCAUUCAAAAAGAGCAAUAAUGAGAAUUUAAUAAAUCAACAAAAACAAUGAUCAAAAUUUUUAUGCAAUCCAUUCAGAUUGAGUAAAACUACUGACGAGAAUGCUUACCAGAAAAGCAUGAAGACAAAUACAGCAUUCCUGUAAAAGUUGUAUAAGAUCAUGUAGGCCAUCCUUUGGUAAUUCCAAUGACCAUGAACCAAUAAAAGAGUUACUAAGAAUCGGAACUGUCCCAUGGCAAAAUCCGAGGCCAUGACAGCUUGUCGUCCCUCUUGGCCACUGAUGCCAACCCCAACAUCAGCCAUUUGGAUCAUUGAAACAUCAUUUGCACCUAUAAAAGAAUGUAUUCAUAAAAUUUAAUCCAAAGCAAAGCAAUAUACAUGCUAUAGUUCAUACAAAGUAUUGAUUUAACAUAUUAAAAGUAAACAUGAUAAAAAAAUAAUCAAGCAAUUUUGGUACCAUCUCCAAUAGCAAGAGUCAUAUCAUCUGUUCGGUUCUUUAUAAGUGCAACUAUCCCAGCUUUUUGGAGUGGAGCCACACGGCAACAUAAGACAACAUCGCAUGCUGUAGCUACUUUGAAUAACUGCAACAUCAAAGCAAAGAAGAAUAAGACAACUGUUAGAUUAUAAAGUCGGAGGUGAAGUAAAGGAUCAAAAAAUUGCUGAUUGCAUAUUAAAUGGAAUCAUGAAUAUACCUCUUCUUCCAGCUCAGUUUCAAGAAUAUACACAAGGCUGGUACCAUCAAUGAUCAAAGCGAUAGGGACCCUCUGAGAUUCAGUGCCUGUUAUAGUAUUCUGUGCCCCAAGAGACAUUGCUGCUAGUCUGUCAGUCAUGGCAAUCGCAUCUUCUAGACUCUUUCGACAAUAAUCCUUGGAAUGACUAUUUAUAACAAUCUGAGUCAUUUCACUUGUUAGGAGCUUACAAGAAUAGCCAAUGGAAAUGGCAGUUUCUUGCUUAUCACCUGUCAAAACCCAGACCUUGAUCCCUGCUUGUCUAAGAGAUUCUAUGGCUUCAGGUACACCCUGUUGCAGUUUAUCUUCAAUUCCGGAGGCCCCCAAUAUGUGGAGAUUACAUUCUACAUUAGCUGCAACUGCUCGUAGUAAGCCUCCCCUCCCAAACAGUGUUGUGCUUGCUUUCUCAUAGGCAGACUGCCAGUCAUCAAACUCAGCUCUACUCAACUCUCGCAUACCGAUGACCAAUGUUCGAAGACCCAAUGAUGAGUAGGCAUGAAGGUGAGUCUCAGUUGCUUGAAUUAUAUCCAAAUUUAUAGAUCUCUCUAUGACUCCAAACAUAGAAUUGUCUGCACCUUUCACAAAUAGUUUUACUGUCUUAUCAGGACAGCCAAUGAUAACCGACAUCCUCUUGCGGUCACUAUCAAAUUCAUGGAGGCCCAACACAUCAAAUCUGCAUUUCAAAUGACAUCCAAAUAGAUACAAUCACAAGUUAUCUAGGUGAAACUGGUCACUGUAAGAGGCUACUGAAAUCAAAGUAAAGUUUACCAAUCUAUAAAAGACUUUUUAAAAAAUAACAAUAAUUUCAUUCCAAUAAUCAAAACCAAUGAAGACCUAAUAAAGCCAUCAGAACUACCAUGAACAUCGAACCCUGCGUCCACUAUAAGAUAAAUUGCGAACCACUAAUACUGGUUUUGCUACAAGCUCACCUAGAAGUGCAAGCACUGUGAGCUUGCUAAUCAUCAUUGUUAGCAAUAUUAAUCAACUUAACAUUACAAGCACAUGCACUGUCAAUAAUACCUAGUCAGUACAAAGAGCUAGUGCAACAAAUCACCAUCAGCAAGAGAAAGAACAACUGCUCUGCAGCUGCUCUCCACUGACAGCCAUAUACAACAAAAUGAAUGACACAAAGAACAACCACCACAACUACAAAAGUUAUAUCUACUAUUUAAAAAUGCAUGUCUUAACAAACAUGACAUUAAAUAAGGAAACUGUCAGCCAUGAUCACUACAACCAGAAACAUUGCUCAUGCAAAUUCCAGUACUGCUAUUAGAAUCUGAACUCAAGCUAGUCGAAUAAAAGAUUAGCCUUACGAAAGAAAAAAACUAACAGUCCUAUUUUGACCACUGCUACCACCACAAUUACUGACAUAAUCAGUGAAAAGCCAGAAAUUGCAUGCACUAACUACUUAGCCUAGAGCAUCAAUCCAAUCAUGCAAGCAAAUAAAUUUUUUUACCUCAGCCUUUCCCCAAGAACAUCAAUGACUAUGUGCCCAGAGGUCCGUUCGACAAGCACAAAGCCGUAUGCAGCAGCUGCAUAAACCAGUGCCACCUCAUCAGGAGACUCACCCUGAUAAUCUAUCAACUUCCGCUUAGGGUCUGGAGUCUCGACAGUCAGAGGCACAAUGGUAUUGCAAGCUGCAAGUGCAAGGAAGAACUCACGGGCACGCAUUCCUUCCCCCCUCUCCCCUCCACUUCUCAGUAACCUCACUAGCUGAGGGUCAGUCUUCACCAACAGUUUUGGCCUCCAGAACUGAUCGCCUACUGUCAUGACACACCAUCGAAGAAAAGAUGCAAUCUUUUUAAGUACAGCUUGCAAUCGAAUCAUUAAUUCACACACACACAAAAAAAAAGGGAGAGGAAAAAAAAAUCACACUAAUAAAAACAUAAGUGAAGGCCAUACUACCUACAACUGAAUACGCUUCCCCAUCUCCCGGCAAAGAAGCUUUCCCACCACUGUAAUCGACCCCGUUAAUGCUUGCACACUGGAAUUCCAUCUUGUUCUCCGUCAAAGUCCCAGUUUUGUCUGAGAACACAUACUUAAUCUGCCCCAAAUCCUCAUUUAUGUUCAAUGCCCUGCACUGGAACCUCGAAUUUGAGGCCUCAUCAUACAAACUCGCGUCCCGAAUCAUGAAAUAGGCCUGCCCGAGCCGAACCAGCUCCAUCGAUAUGUAAAGAGAAAUGGGAAUCAUGAUCUGGAACACGAUGACUGACAUUAGGAGCGUGAAAAAGAUCUGCAUCCCAAUUCCAUAGUAGUUGUAAGAACUAUCGUCAUCAGGCGAGGCCCUCUUCCUAAAAUAGGGCGAGUAAUCCAGCUCAUCCUUGUGGUUCCUCAGCCAAACUCCGGCAAGAACACACACUACUAAGCACAAAGUAAUUAGCAGCCCGGAGAGGAGCAGCGUCUCUCUGUUCAUAUGGGUCUCCAGCCGGCUCCUCUUCGACGGCGCCCCCGAGCUAUUGAGCAUAACCUUAGUCUCCGUCCCGGCAUACACCGCCACGCCGACGGCCCAAGCCGUGUUCUUUAUCUCGCAACCCCGGAGAACUAUAUUUGGAGGCCCCAAAGACACCUUUCUUCCGUCGAUUUCCAUGUUAGCAUGGAAGCCGUAGAUGUUCCGAUUCGGCCUCUCGCACCGGAUGAAGCCGGUGAAUCCCUCCAUGUCGACGGACUUUGAAAGCGUCUCCUGCUUGGCGUACCGAGUCUUAAGGUUCGACUCGCCGUCGAGGUUGAUGGUCUGGACGUAGGCGACGCCGGUGGGGUCGCUGGUGAAGAGGAGGACCAUGUCGCAGGGGAUGCUCUCAUUGGCGGCGAUUCUGAUGAUCUCGCCGACGCGGAUAUCCUUCCAGCGCACGGGCUGGAAUUGGCGGCCGCCGGCGCCGGCGCCGGCGAGGACGCUGGCGGUGCGGCCGUUCUCGAUGCGGUCGGAGCGGUGGCGGCGCCAGUCCUCGUAGGCGUCCUUGACGGCGGUGACGAGGAGAACGAAGGCGAGGGGGAGCACGGAGGCGCCGCGGCCGAAGACGGCCAACUGAGGGAGCUGGUUGAGAACGGCGAUUACGAGGAAGUAGAUGUAGGCGACGCGGUGGAAUUGUUCGAAGAGGUUGCGGGGGAGGAAGGUGAGGACGGAGUACUUGCCGGUGCGGAUAGAGUUGCCGGCGAACUCGAAGCGCUCGUUGGUCCUGGAGGGGUCGUUGAUGUAGACGAGGCGGGCGUCGUCGUCGGAGAGCUCCCUCUGGGAAGCGGCGAGGCGGUCGGAGUCCGCGCGGGAGCCACGGCGAGGGACGGGGGUGUCGGCGACGAAGGAGAUCCGGUCGACGCGGGCGGAGCGGGCGGCGGGAUCGAGUCGGAUGGGGGGCUCGGGGAGGAGAGGAGCAGGUGGAGGGCGUGGGGAUGGGUCCAAGAGAGGCCGGUCCUGGGCCAUUUUUUUGGCUUCUUGCGGUUAGGGUUAGAGAAGGACGGAAGCCAUGAUUUCUGGUAUUGAGCUAAGACUUGCCAGGAAUUGAAGAACGAAUGAAGAUGAGAGAGAUAUUAAGAGGAGGAAGAGGAGGAGAAGGGAAGAAAGACCAGGAGAAGGUCAAAGGCGGAGUCGUAGAGAGAGAGGGAUGAUUUUUUCGGGUUGAAUUGGUUUAAUAGAAAUAAAAGAUUAGAAAAUAGGGAGGGAAGGAGUGGAGGAAACAAACAAGCAGGGAUUUUUAAAAGGGAGGGGGCGUUGGGGGGUGGUUAAGGCACUGGUGCAGUAAGUUGGUGAGCGAAAGCCGUAUGAGCCUCCGAGAGAGAGAGAGAUGUUUUAUGUGAUUGAAAGUUGAAUCGCGGACAGAGAAGGGUUUAAGAUUGUGAAGAAAUAAAUGCAAUCUUGCUGAGAAAGAAGAUGGGAUAGAGAUGAUAGAGAAAGAGGACGGUGAAAGCGAGAAGAGAGGAGGAAGAAAAGGAGAGAGAAAGGAGAGGGAGCUUCUAGAAGGAUUCUAUUCAAUGCAACGGGACCGUGUUAAAAAUAAUAGAAGGAAAUGUAACACCGCGGGACACGUUGGGAGUAAGUAGGAGGAGGCCGUCUUGGUUUGGAGCCGCGUGGAGAGAGGGGGAGAGAGAGAGCGAUGGUUCCCUCGAUCUGGGCCGGCCAGGCUUUUGGGAGCUUCGGAUUUUCCGAAGAGGAGAUAGAUUCGGAGGACGAAUCCAAUGGGUGCGUGCGUGGAGGGUUCAAACACAUCCGUCUCCAACCCAUGGGGUAGGGAUGUCGAGGCAAAGUUGCGUAAAGUUUCUGAUGAUCGUUUUUUUUCCUCCCUCCCACGGGUAGAAACUUCUUAUCAAAAUUACUUUUGAUAAGAAGCAGAAUCCGCGAACGCCCAAGGUCCGCCCAAGUUGACCUUCAAUUUGACUUGUUCCCAACCAUCUCUAAUACAUGUUACUCCUUUUGCUUUCAACGCUACUCUUAAACCAACGCUUGAUUCACAUGAGUCGCAUCGAAUAGGUUGUUAAUGUGCACCAUAAGGAUGUGGCUUGAGACCUGAGGAUCCCAAUUCACUUUAGAUCCAUGUGGCCAUUUUCGGUUAAUUUGGACAACUAGCUUGCCUAGCCGUGGUAGUUGGCAAGUUAAAGGAAUUGGACUUACAUCAUCUUUAUCUACAUUAUUCUACCAAGACUCAUAUUAUAGAAAUAAUGAAGUAACUGUUGUGGUUCAAAUUUGGCCCGACGGUGACCACGCCGGAGAAGUCAGAAGAGCUGCCGGCCGCAGCAGAGAAAGGAAGACCACCUCCCGUGCGACGACGUACCUGUACAAAGCCUCACCGGUGGUUCCGAUGAGGGCCCUCCGAUGCUCAAGUUAGAAUGGAUCUUAGUUGGUCCAAAAGUUUCCUAAGCGUUACCUGAUGGGGCUAUUUAUAGUCCCCGUAGAGGUGCCCAGGUGGCAAAGGUAUGGCCCAUCCUCAUUAUAGGAUAAGAUGGCUUUUAUUCAGAUGGCGCGCAGCUAAAACUUGCUUAAGGCGCAUGGCGUAGACCGUUCCUAUGAAUGGUAAGGUGUUAAUAGGUGUGGCAGGGUAUGGCUGGAGCAACAUGGCGUCAUCCUUGGUUGUCGUUGGCCAGCAAGCAAAGCAUAGCGCGGUAAAGUUGUAAUGUACGUCCACGUGUUUUGGCGUGGGCACGCACGUAGAUGCGAUCAUGGGUGAGGUCAAGCUCGAUGACAGGUCGCAUCAUAUAUUCGAUGAGGACUGCUUGGCGGGUGCUGAGGUCGGCCUAGUCUCUCUGAUUCCGAGGUUUACUCGGUAAGGUGCCUCGAGCUCGAGGGUCGGGGCAUGUUAUUGGAUAGGGCGCCCCGAAUUUGGCCGGGGCGUACCGUCGAAUAUCAAAGGCGCCCCGAGCUCAGUCAGGGUGUGUCGGCGAAUAUAAGGGCUCUCCAAGCUUAGUCGGAGCACAUCGUUGUAUAGUCCUAUGGUCGAAAGAGCUCUUUGGCUCACAGCCGACAUAGCAGGGCGCUCCGAGCUCAGGCUCGGGAUGUCAUUAGAAGAGAUUGCUGCAGGUCGUAGCAGCGAAGAGAUCCGUCCGAGGUCGACUGAGCCUUCGGCGAAGUUCGAGAUCGGGCUAACUCUUAGCAGGACCGAAGUCUGGCCUGGUUGGUGUCGAGUUCUUUCCGGCUAGAAUGGAAUAAUCCCUUGUCCUAAGCAGAAUGAUCCAUUUUGCCCCCCAUCAGUAACUAUUUGUAUUUUAUGAGAAAAAGUAACUACUUAUAUUAUAUAUUAAGGAGAAAAAAAAGCUCCCAAGGCUGAUCAAGAUGGAAUUAGUACUUCCUAAUGUUAGAAUAAUUUUAGGAAUCACAUAACAACCUACAUCACUUAUAAUAUUUUUCUUUAUCAGCGUGAUUCUGUGUCAACUUUUUCUUUGCUAACAUAAUCUUACUAGAAUGACUUUAAGAAUCACAUGACAAUCUGUAUCACCUAUAAUAUUUUUCAUUAUUAGUGAGAACCUAUAUCAACUGAUAUUAUUUUCAUAUAUAGAAUUNNNNNNNNNNNNNNNNNNNNNNNNNNNNNNNNNNNNNNNNNNNNNNNNNNNNNNNNNNNNNNNNNNNNNNNNNNNNNNNNNNNNNNNNNNNNNNNNNNNNNNNNNNNNNNNNNNNNNNNNNNNNNNNNNNNNNNNNNNNNNNNNNNNNNNNNNNNNNNNNNNNNNNNNNNNNNNNNNNNNNNNNNNNNNNNNNNNNNNNNNNNNNNNNNNNNNNNNNNNNNNNNNNNNNNNNNNNNNNNNNNNNUCCACCACGAUACGGGUCCACCACGACUUCUAUGCUGAAUUGAACCCAUCUUGGUCUUUCCAUUAGCCGUCCAAAUUGACGCGGUCCAGUUGGACCCAUGCUUUGGAUGGUUGAAUCAAAUGUAGUAAUGGGGGUCUCCAAACCACCAAAGCUAGGUCUGGCCAAGUCAAACCUUGCUUGGGUGUUCAAAAGCAUAUGUUUCCUCUCCAUUGCACUUCUAUAUAUUUUUCCUUCUGAAAACGUGUUUUUUUGUUGUUUGGUUGGAAUUAAACCAAACCUUCUCACCCAUGCCUAUUGUAAAUAAUAGAUAGAACAUAAUAUUCCCACUGUUUUGCUAAGGAAAAACUUCAUAAUUUAAAUCAGAAGCAGCAUCCCGUUUCUUCUGAUUAAAAGAAAGAAAAGAAAGAAAAGGUAAUAUCUUAUUUCAUUGCAUGUUGCUCGUUUCUAGAAUGACUGAUCUAUGUAUUGAUCUUCGGCUUUUACUUAUCAAGUUUGGAUCCUUUGUGAUAUAUUUUUUGCACCCCAGAGUGUUGUACCAUCUUGGAUAGUUGCCACAUUACUUAUCUUGGAGAUGGAUGGCCGCCACUCGUGAGAAUUCAGAGCCAUAAAUAAUGAGUGCUCUAGAUGAAUGGUAGCUGUCCAUCACCGAGAUGGAUGACAUAGUGGCUAUCCACCACAAAGGUUCUCGGGUUUUACUUAUUUAUCUUAGAAGAAGAAAGAGUUAGAGCACAAUCGAUCACAUCAAAAUAAGAGACACGUCAUCGAUAUCCAAUCUUUAGAAAAGCACCUUCCAUAUUUUGCACACGAAUCUUCCUUCCAUUGAAAUGAAGAUGCACACCAACAAAAGUUGUUAGCAUUAGGAAAAAACGGCCUACUAAUUUACUUUUUGGCAUCUAGUCUUGAUAGAUCAAAUGAUUAUUUUAAAAACACUCCUCCUAUCCACAAAACAAAAUUAAAUCGACCUCCAAAACUAAUGUGGCAAGUUGUUGACUCUUCUGCAGGAGGAUUUCCCCAUAACUUAUUGAUUCUUCUAUCUUGGAUUCCAAUGUCCUCUUUGUAAGGGGACACUUGGUGUCUCUUUCUUGAACUACUUCACUCUGUUGGAAAGUUGUAAUGAAUUCCACAGGAACGGAUUAUUCUUCUUUAUACGACAUAUCAGUGGACUUUUGGGAACCAGUCCUCCUCUCGGCCUGUCCACUUCCACAGGAUGGUAGGAUUUGGUGCAAUUGGUGCUUAUCACGGAGUUUCUGAUCAUCAAUUGUGACCCUAAGAUCUCAUGACGUACCUUUCUCUCCUUAUCUGUUUGUUUUUCUAUUAACUAUUAAGUGCAGUUGAGAUUGUUCACUCACAAAUUCAUGGGCAAGGACAACCAAUUACGUUACGAUAACUGUUUUGCUGAUGUUUAAAUUAAAAUUAAAGUUUUGCUUACGAAAUCGUCAUCUGUCUCCCAGCAUUCACUCUUUUGAGGUUGUGUUUGAUGAGGAACAAGGCUGAAUAGACCUUAUUCUUAGCAAACAAUUAAGUCUUCAAAAUAUAUAUAUGGGAGGAGCAAUUGCUUUGAUCAAAACUGCUUCUUCCUGGAAAAUCUAUUCAAGGGGUUGAAAUAACUUCAUUCCACAAUUAAGGCCCUCUUUAGUUCGCAGCCCCUUUGUUUAAAUGGACAAAAAUGCUGCCAGUCCUAUAUCUUUGUGCGUCUAAAGAAAGGGGACAAAGAUACUGUCACUCCUACAGUUGUUCCAACCAGGAAUAAGAAAUUUCAUCCAAACAACAAGAAUAAUAGCUAUCCCUCUUUUAGAUUUCCUUACUCUCAAAAACAAAUGCAGACUAAAUAUUUAUUUUAGAGAAUACAUGGCUUGGAGGAUAGUUCUAUGAUUUUUGAACCGACCAAUCACUAAAUUUAGAAUCUACUCAAAAAAAAAAAUCUCAAUUUUUAAGCAAUCUUAGUCUUAUUGGACAUCUAAGCACACAGAAUUUUUUAGUAGAUUGAAGCUAAGAAGACCCCUUGCUCCUUUUUUUUAAAUGACAACCCUACUUCGUGUAUGUAGAGCGUACCGCAUAAAGCGAAGGCUCGAGGUCCACGCCAUCAACCACCUUCUCCUAGCUAAAGUCUAACUUUUCCUUUUGUGGACCAGAAAAGUUAGACCUCAAGACUGAAGAGACUCAUGGCAAUAUACGUGGCAUAGAAACGUAUGCGGUCGCCAUAAAAGAUGGUCCAACCUGACUGCUAAACGGAACUCAAGAAAGCUAGACAUUAGAUCCUCUUCAAUAAUUGAGGGGUCCAGUUCAAUUGCAAACCCCCAUUUGUGGAUACAAUCCAUUUAUAUCCUAAACUACCACUACUACUAAGCUAUUUCCUCUUCAAUAAUUGAGGGGUCCAGGUCAAUUGCAAACCGCCAUUUGUGGAUACAAUCCAUUUAUAUCCUAAACUUCUGCUACUACUAAGCUAUUUCCUACUGGAAAAGGCUAAAGAUCACUUGCUACUGAUCUUUGCUCAAUUCGCCGGGAGAUGCGGAAGUUGGUGAUUGGCUAAGCAAAAGCGGAGACACCACUAACCCUACCAUGCAUGGCACCAAUCCCUAAUUCUAGGUAAAUUGAGCGGUGAUCGUUAGCAAAAGAUCGGUAGUAGUAAUGGUAGUAGUAGUAGGAGCAGUGGUCAUUUUUAUUUUUGUCACCAUCAUUGAAUCAUAACAAAUAGAAGCAAACAAUGAGAAAGACCAACAAACGAGCAUUAGAGUGCACAACAGAACCACUAACCAACCUCUCCUAGAAAAGACAAUAAUAGAAGACAAAAUCAACCAAGAUGCAAAAGCUGAAGUAACUAUCACUACCAUGAUGAUGAUAAAUUAACGCAAAAUUUAAAGUUCUACGGUGCAGCAGCAGAAUAACAUAGAUGUAACUAAAUAACAAGAAGAGUUAGGAAGUGUACCUUUGCCUUUCACCAAGGACAUUGACGAUUAUAUGCCCUGAAGUCCGUUCCAUGAGCAUGAAUCCAUGAGCUGCAGCAGCAUAGACCAAUGCCUGCUCAUCAGGGGAUUCGCCCUGAUAGUCGAUGAGCUUGGUUGCCGGAUCUGGUGUCUCGAUCACUAUCGGCACGAUGGUGUUACAAGUCGCCAAGGCGAGAAAGAAAUCACGAGCGCGAUUUGCCUUCUCUGUUCCCUUGCCACCCCUCAGAACAUUCAGCAGCUCUGGAUCAGUCUUAACACUCAUCUUUGGUCUCCAAAUCUGACCAUUCACUGUUCAAAAUAUUAAGAAAAACAAUGAAUUUACUCAUCCUUUAUGGAAUUGUUAUGUAAGAAAUGAUUGUUUAUAUCAUCUAUUUGUCACGACUCUUUCUUACAAUAGAUUACUGUUCCUUGUGAUACUUGUGCAACCUGUUUUAUGAAAAGAUGCCAUCAAGCUCAUGUAUCAUGUGGGGGUCCAACUACCAUCGCCGAGUCGGACCAUAGACUUAAUGUGCUACUUGGAGGAUACUGUACCUAAUUAUCCAUCCUCUCUAUAAAGACAAACUAUCUGGAUGAUGCCUUCAAGGCUUUUACUGGAAGUAUUUCUCGUUUCUAACGACGAUGUCACAUAUUAAUUCAUGUGGCUAGAUGCAAAAUGACAUCAUGCCGGCAUGGAGCUGCAUUCUUGGCAGCAGGCCAACCUUCUAUGUCAGGUCCUAGUGUCUCACCACAUUACCAUGUGAAGUUAUACACAUGGAGGGAAAUUGCUUAGGUCUCAACUAGUUGCAAUCAAACUGCAGACACAGAGUUGAUGGUAUCAACUCUGUGUUUGAGCUAUCAAUGGCAUGUAGGAAGACCCCAUCCUUUGGAGUUAAUGCUUGUGGUCUAGAAAAAUAGAUCAUGGAGAGCACAAGUAAAUAACUAAAUGAGAGUAAUGCUGCCACCUACCUGAGAUGAAAAGCCCGUUCUCCUCAUCAUCCUGGCCUCCACUAAAAUCCAUCCCAUGGACACUGGCACACCGGAACUCCAUCUUGUUCUCUGUCAAAGUGCCUGUUUUAUCCGAGAACACGUACUUGAUCUGCCCCAAAUCCUCAUUUAUAUUCAAUGCCCUGCACUGAAACUUGGAUUUGGUCUUCUCAUCACGCAUUCCCUUAUCCUGAAUCAUGAAGAAGGCCUGCCCCAAUCUCACCAGCUCCAUAGAUAUAUACAAGGCUAUUGGAAUCAUAACUUGGAACUGAAUCACUGCCAUCAUGAAAGUAAACACGGUCUGCCAUCCAAUACCAUAGUAAUCAUAAUUGUCGCCGUCCGAAAAAUUCUUCUUCCGGUAGUACGGCAGGUAGUUGAGCUCGUCGCGGUGGCGGUGCAGCCAUAGACCGGCGAGGAUUGUAACAACAGAGCACAAUGCAGUAAGAGAGAUGGCUAGAAAUAUCGUCUCCCGGUUCAUAUGAGUCUCGAGCCGGCUUCGCUUCGAUGGCGCCCCAGAGCUGUUGAGCAUCACCUUGGUGUCCUUGCCGGUGUACACCGCGGCGCCGACGGCCCAAUUGGUGUUCUUGAGCUCGCAGCCUCGGAGAAUUAUGUUCGAGGGGCCGAGCGAGACUCUCUUGCCAUCGACGUCUAUGUUGGCAUGGAAUCCAUAUAUGUUGCGGUUCGGCUUCUCGCAGCGAAUUAGGCCUGACAUGGAUUCAGGCGGCGUCGAGAGCGUCUCCUGCUUCGCGUAACGAGUCUUGAGGUUGGACUCGCCGUCGAGAUUGAUGGUCUGGACGUAGGCGACGCCGGUGGGAUCGCUGGUGGAGAGGAGGACCAUGUCGCAGGGGAUGCUCUCAUUGGCGGCGAUUCUGAUGAUCUCGCCGACGCGGAUAUCCUUCCACCGCUUCUGCCGGAAUUCGGCGUCGACCAGUGCGGAGACCAUCCGGUUGUUCUCGUUGCGGUCGGAGCGGUGGCGCCGCCAGUCCUCGUAGGCAUCCUUGACGGCGGUGACACCGAGGACGAAAGCCAGCGGCAGGACGGAGGCGACGGGGCUGUACACGUCAAGCUGAGGGACUUGGUUCAGGCCGGCAAGGACGAGGAAGUAUACGUAGGCAAGACGGUGGAACUGUUCGAAGAGGUUGCGAGGGAGGAAGGUGAGGAUGGAGUACUUGGUGGUUCGUAUCGAAUUGUUUGGGAAUCUGACGGGAUUGUUCGUCCUGUCGGCGUCGUUGAUGUACACGAACCGAGCCUCGUCGUCGCUGAUCUCCCUCUGCGAGCCGAGCCGCCCGGAGUCGGAGCGCUUGGAAGGAUACCGGCGAGCCGGCUUCGAGUCCGAGCGGCCGAAGUUCUCGACGGAGAACGUUGCCUUCGAGCUAGCCUUCAGCUCUGCGGCGAAGGAGAAUUCGCUGCUGGAUGGAGUCCUGUCUGCGUUCCGGGAUCGAGAGGACCUGCGAGAGGACGAUUUUGCGACUGCAGGAGGAAUCGGACCGGCGGAGUUAGUUUCAGUGCGAGCUGCGGGAUUUGCCCCCUGCGGCGAUGGAAUUAGCAGGGGCCGACCGGAGGCCAUGAUCGAAAAGCCAAGGGAGGAUUCAGGAGCUUGGAAUCUAUGAAUUCAUGGCUAAUCGAAGUAUUCACCGUGCAAUUGGAUUGAAGAACUUUCGAUGGUUUUGGGAGGGAGGGCGAAUUUGGAGAGGUGGGGUGGUGGAGAUAUGGAGGCUUGGUUUCCAAGAUAACAAGCCUUUGCCAAGGAGAUGGCGGCUAAAAGAAAAUUGUAUAGUGAAAGGAGGGAAUCGGGAGAGGACAAGGGAGAAGUCAGAAGGGAGAGAGAGAGAGAUAUAUGGACCGGAAAGUCUUCGCGUGGGCUUCCAGAGGGGGCUUCUUAGAAGGAACGGAAAUGGGAGAUUGGCUCCUGGCCAAUGGAUGUUGCUUUUGAGUUGGCUAAUCUUAGCUCAUGUCCUCGGUCAGAAAGAAUCCUCCAUCGCCAUGUUUCAAACUAAUACGCUGUUUUCCUUGUGGUCUUUCUAGAGGGUCAGCUUAAUUGGUCCAAGAGCUAAUAAAUACAAGACUGUUCUCACAAUUCAAUACAUGAUUGUACCUUUUACUUUUAUUUGUUCUAGAAUUAGAUAAAUUCCACGUAGAUGUUCUUGAAUUCCAGGCGUCUGAGAAGUUUGAAAAAUGUUAUAAACUUGCCCGUGCAAGCACGUGCUGCAUGAUGGAAGAAGAUUCUUAUCUCCUUUUGAUAUAAAAUAAAUAAAUUUAUGAUCUAUUAAUUUAUAUCAUAAGUUUAUAACAUAUUAAAGAAGUAAUUUUAGUUUAGCAAGUUAUGUUUGGAACAUUAGAUAAAUCUUUUUUUUUUUUCUGGGUAAAACGAGGGGGGGGGGGCCCACUAGGCCCUCCUAGCCUCCUUUCACUAGAAAAUGUUUGAUGUGGGUAGAAUUUUUUCUCGUACCCUCUCCGACCUGUGGGUCAUCCCGCGUGUAAGUACGUCAUCCCAGCGCUACCUCAGUGCUAGUUAGACCAUAUAGCGUUCCCAUCGAGUAUGUCUAAGUGGAGGGCAUCCGGUCCUCACAUUUAAUCAACGCCCGCGCGUUUCGAAUCUAGACCGCGUCGGUGGAAGCAAAGCUCCGUUUCAAUUGUGCUACUAUCUUGGUGGCCAUUAGAUAAAUCUUUGGGAGCUGCGGUAGAUUGCUACUAUUUCUAAAUUGUGGCAUUCUUGAAAAAAUGCACAAAAUGUUGGAAAAAUUAAAUGUGCACGUGGCUAUUCUCGGGCCCCCGCUAUAAUUUUCCUCCACGGACAAGUCUGCAAAAAGACCAAAAUAGCCUUGCUUAAAAUCCUUAUAAAUACCCCUUGGUUUCAUCUUAUUGGUGACACGAAAAAAUAGAGAAAAAUAUCAAAAAAUUCACCGGCGUAGCAGCCCCCACUAGGCCCUCCUAGCCUCCUUUCACUAGAAAAUGUCUGAUGUGGGUAAAAUUUUUUCUCGUACCCUCUUCGACCUGUGGGUCAUCCCACGUGUAAGUACGUCAUCCCAGCGCUACCUCAGUGCUAGCUAGACCAUAUAGCAUUUCCAUCGAGUAUGUCUAAGCGGAGGGCAUCCGGUCCUCACAUUUAAUCGACGCCCGCGCGUUUCGAAUCUAGACCGCGCCGGUGGAAGCAAAGCUCCGUUCCAAUUGUGCUACUACCUUGGUGGCCAUUAGAUAAAUCUUUGGGAGCUGCGGUAGAUUGCUACUAUUUCUAAAUUGUGGCAUUCUUGAAAAAAUGCACAAAAUGUUGGAAAAAUUAAAUGCGCACGUGGCUAUUCUCGGGCCCCCGCUAUAAUUUUCCUCCACGAACGAGUCUGCAAAAAGACCAAAAUAGCCUUGCUUAAAAACCUUAUAAAUACCCCUUGAUUUCAUCUUAUUGGCGACACGAAAAAUUAGAGAAAAAUAUCAAAAAAAUUCUGGAGAAAAGUUCUUCCUCUUAGCCACUUCUGUUUUUUUUAUUUUUGCAAUUAUAUUCAGUUUAUUUUAUUCUUUUUAUUUCGUUCUUUGCUGGAUCUGCAAGUCCGAUCGGAUUCAAUUUGGCUUCUUCCGAGACGUACCGAAGAAGAAGUUUAGGAUCGUCGUAUCUCUGAGGAGGAUUGCCGAAAGAUCCGUACAUGGGGACAAACACUUCUUCGGGAUAGCUUCUACGCUGAGCUGCCUUCAAUCAGGCUAUUUUCUCUUACUCUUGUUUUAAAUUUAAUAUUAGUAAAUAUGUAGGAUUUGCAACUUUAUGAUUUAAAUGUAUUAAAUGAACAGAUUUAUUUUGUGCAAAAAUAGAUUUCUUUUGUAAUAAAAUAGAUUUAUUUUGAUGUCGAAGAAUAUAUAUAUAUAUAUUAUUUCUUUUAAGAUUUUUAUUAAUUGUGAUUAUAGAUUUAUUUACUUAUUUAGGUGAUAUAUUGCUAACAAUCCAAAGAAGUGUUUGUUUUUUAUUAGUAAUAUAUAAUUCAAUAAAUCAUUCUACAAAGGUAAUAAUUUGUUUAACCUCCAAGAGGUUUAUCAUACCUCCAUUUGAACUCCUUAAGGAGUAAUUUUCAGAUUCCAUUCAAAUAAAAAUUCAAAAAUUAGUUAAUACAUAAUAAUUAAUUCAUUGAAUUGACUUAUUAGAUCUCAAUCAAUUAUUCUAAUAAGGUAAUAAAUCAUAUACUUUAUUGAAUUGACAAAUUAGAUCUCAAUUAUAAUAAUUAAUUUGCUACUACAAAAUUAGUAAUUAAUUAUUCUAAUAAGAUAUUAAAUCUUAUAAUUCAUUGAAUUGACAUUUUAGUUCUCAAUUACAAUAAUUGAUUUGCUGGCACAAAAUUAGUAAUCAAUUAUUCUAAUAAGAUAAUAAAUCUUAUAAUUCAUUGAAUUGACAUUUUAGAUUUCAGUUACAAUAAUUGAUUUGCUGGCACAAAAUUAGUAAUCAAUUAUUCUAAUAAGGUAAUAAAUCAAUUCUAAUAUAUAAUUUAUUGAAUUGACAUAUUAGAUUUCAAUUACAAUAAUUGUCUAGCUAGCCUAAAUUAAUAAUUAUUUAUUACUAAUUCAAAAAAUUCAAAUAGAAAAUUCAAAAAUUGAUCAAUCCAUAAUAACAAAUUUAAGCUUGCACUUAGGUUUUUGCAAAAAUUGAAUUUGUGUGAUUUCUAGUGAUUAUAUCUACUAACUAAUAGUGUCAAAGAAAAGCUUAUCAAAAAGACAUACGUACCUAAGAAAGGCUAGUACUUAAGCGAGCCUAAUGCUCCACCACCGAUCUGGAGCUGAUCUGGCUAUUAUUUUUUGGAUAUAUCAACUAAACAUUCAAAAUUCAAUACAAAUUUUAGUGCAAUCUUUUGACAUAAACUUUUUGCCUUCAUUCUGUUUUCUGUCUCUUUUAUAUAACCUUGAUCCUAUGGCCUCUAACACUAGUGACCAACUUAGUGCCAAACCUGAAAAAUUUGAUGGCCACAACUUUAGGAGGUGGCAGAACCAAAUACGGCUCUGGCUCACCACAUUAGUGUUGAUCUCAGUCGCAGGUGAAAGCACGUCCGAAGUUGAUAACGGGUCCAACCCAACUACUUCACAACUUGCUACUCGCCAAAACCCAAACCCAAAUCCAAAUCGGAGUUCAUCCUCCUCCCAAACUGAACCUUCUACUUCCACCAGCACACCCUCUAGGAUUCCUAAUGAGAUAGACUAUCAUUGCAUCCAUAGAAUCUUAGGUGCCCUUUCUGAGAGGCUGAUGACAUCUAUUACACAGCCAAGAGUACCAAAGAACUCCGGGACACCUUAGAUAGCAAAUAUGGUCUUGAUGAUGCUAGGAUAAAAAGGUUCAAGGCCUCCGACUCCAAUAACUUUAGGAUGGUGGACUCAAAGCCUAUGAAUGACCAAAUCCAUGACUUUGAAAUCCUGAUCUACCAGCUUAGGGCUAAUGGGACCAAUUUGGAUGAAUCAUUCCAAGUAGCCUGUCUGAUAGAUAAACUACCUAAUUUCUGAUCUGAUUUUGCUAAGACCCUGAGCCAUACCCAAGAAGGUCUCACCCUAACCCAAGUCUUGAACUCCAUUAGAAUUGAAGAGCAACAUAGGCUCAGGAGUAAAACCUCUAUUGGACACAAAAAUAAUGCGUAUAAUAUAGAGGCUCCACCUAGAAAAAAUCAGAACCGACCCUUCAAAAAUAAGCAUUACAAAAAGAAGCCCUACAACCCUAGAAACCCUAAUCACCACAAUGAAAAACCUAUCUAAUCCCAGGAGCAGAAGAAGAAGAAAGAGGAAGGUGGUGUUCGUUUCUGUUAUAUGUGUGGUCGGAUCAACCAUUUGGCUCUCCAGUGCUUCUAUAAAAAGACUGCACCUUUUCAAUCCNNNNNNNNNNNNNNNNNNNNNNNNNNNNNNNNNCUGGCGCUGGCUCCUCUGAGACUGCUUUCAGGUCUGUUUCCUUCACUCCUGAAGUUAACAUGACUUUACGAGCACUUGAUUGGUGGAUUAAUACCGGAGCUGGUAUUCAUAUUUAUUCGGAUCACUCCUAGUUUUCUUCUUAUCAAGUCUCAUGUGGAGGAGCUGUGAUUAUGGCAAAUAGCUAGGAGGCACGUGUACAAGGAGUGGGACGUGUAAACUUAAAGCUUACUUUUGGAAAAGUCAUGUCCCUGCAUGGCGUCCAACAUAUUUCGGCCAUUAGGAGAAAUCUAAUUAGUGGUUCUUUGCUUGUCCAGCUAGGCUAUUGUCUUAUUUUUGAGUUCAAUAAAGUUGUAAUUUCUCAUAGUGUGAUAUUCAUUGAAAAAAGAUUCCUAAGUGAAGGAUUGUUUAAGUUGAAUGUAAUAGUUCUUUCAAUAAAUAAAUUUUUUUUGAUUAUAAAUAUAUAACCUCCUUUUAUUUGGCAUGGUAGAUUAGGUCAUGUAAAUUAUAAUACAAUUAAGCAACUAAUGAACCUAAAUUUAAUACCAAAAAGUGAUCUUAAGAACCAUGAGAAAUGUGAAAUCUGUGUCGAAGCCAAACUUCCUAGAAAGCCUUUAAAAUUUGUUAAUAGGGAUUCGGAUUAUUAGAUUUGAUCCAUAGUGAUGUUUGUGACUCUGAUAGAACUUCUAGAGAAGGUAACAGAUACUUUGUGACCUUCAUAGAUGAUCUAUCCAAGUUCUGUUACAUCUACCUAAUUAAAAUCAAGGAUGAGGUGCUCAGCAAAUUUAAGAUUUUUAAGAUUGAAGCUGAGAACCAACAGGAAAAGAAAAUUAAAAUCUUUAGAUCAAAUCGGGGAGGUGAAUAUACAUCUAAUAAUAUAACUCAAUUUUGUGAAGAUCAUGGAAUCAUUCAUGAAGUGACUGCUCUCUAUUCUUCCCAAUCAAAUGGAGUAGCAGAAAGAAAGAAUAAGACUUUAAUAGAUAUGAUUAACUCCAUGCUUAUAAGCUCAAGAGUACCAGAGAAUUUAUGGGGAAAAGCUCUAGUUUCAGUCUGUUAUAUCCUCAAUAGAAUUCUCUCCAAAAAUAAUGAUCUAACCCGAUACGAAAUUUGGAAACAUAGAAAACCUAAUCUUAACUAUUUGAAAGUGUGGGGGUGCUUGGCAAAAGUGAAAAUGUCUGAUUUUAAAAGAAAGAAAAUAGGGCCUAAAAUAUUCAUAGGAUAUGCAGCCAAUAGUAAUGCUAAUAGAUUUCUGGUGAUUAACUCAGAAGAAAGCGAUAUUAGGAACAACACUAUCGUAGAAGCCAGAGAUGCAACAUAUUUUGAAGACAUCUUUCUACUUAGGACUAGAGUAGAUAGUGGUAUAGCUAGUAACUCUAGUAGAAUAAGGACAAGAAAAAUAGAAGUAGAAGCAGAACCUAGGAGGAGUAAAAGAUCCAGAGUAGAAAUUUUUUUUGGAGAUGACUUCUAUACCUUUCUUAUAGAGGACUCUCCAACUACUUUUGAGGACGCAAUGAAAUCCUUCGAUUCACCCUUUUGGAGAGAAGCUGUAGACAAUGAGAUGCGGUUAAUUAUCUAAAAUCAUACUUAGGAACUGACUGAUCUUCCUUCUAGUUGUAAAACUAUAAGGUGCAAAUGGAUCUUUAAGAAGAAACUUAGGCCUGAUGGAUCUGUAGAUAAAUUUAAGGCUAGAUUAGUUGCUAAGGGUUUUACUCAGAAAUCUGGAAUAGAUUUCUUUGAUGUAUAUGCACCUGUAGCUAGGAUUACUACUAUUAGAGUCCUGAUAGCAUUAGCCUCUAUCCAUAGAUUAGUGAUUCAUUAGAUGAAUGUGAAAACAACUUUUCUAAAUGGAGACUUAAAUGAAGAAUUUAUAUAGACCAGCCAGAGGAAUUUAUAAUCCCAGGCCAAGAAAAUAAAGUUUGCAGACUAGUCAGAUCUCUUUUUGGUCUUAAACAAGUACCCAAACAAUGACACUUGAAAUUUGAUGAAAUUAUACUGACAUUUGGAUUUGAAAUCAAUAAGACAGACAAGUAUGUAUACAAUAAGAGAGUUGGAAAUAAAUUUGUGAUCUUAUGCCUCUAUGUAGAUGAUAUACUGAUCUUUGGGACAGAUCUUCAGAUAAUUGAUGAAGUAAAACAAUUUUUAAGUCAUAAGUUUCAUAUGAAAGACUUGGGACAAGCUGACUUAAUUUUAAAUACCAAAAUAAUUAGAAGUGCAAAUAGAAUUGAGUUAUCCCAAAGUCAUUAUUUUGACAAGAUACUUAAUAGAUUUAAUUAUUCUGAUUGUCAGCAUGUCUCUACUUCCUUUGAUCCCUCUACACACCUUAAGAAGAACUUAAGAAUUUCUAUCCUUCAAAACCUAUAUGCUCAAAUCAUAGGCUCACUAAGAUUCUUAGCAAACUACACCAGGCCAGACAUAACAUAUGCUGUAAUAAACUUAGCAGAUAUACUAUUAAUCCAAAUAGAGAUCACUAGACAGCAUUAGAGCGGAUCUUUAGGUAUCUUAAGGGUACCAAUCCUAUAAUUUGCAUUUUAGUGGGUUUCCUACUGUUCUAGAAGGCUAUAGUGAUGCCAACUGGAUCAGCGAUACUUUAGAUAUUAAAUCCACCACGGGAUAUGUCUUUCUCCUAGGAGGUGCUGCUCUGUCUUGUAAAUCCAUCAAACAAACCUUGAUAUUUAGAAGUACCAUAGAGUCUGAACUGAUAGUUUUAGACACCACUAGCACUGAGGCUGAGUGCCUAAGAGAUCUACUAAUAGACCUUCCCGUAGAUGAGUCACCUUUACCACCUGUCUCCUUACAUUGUGACUGUAAAUCUGCAAUAGACAAGUGCAACCAAGAAAAUGCCAAUGUAAAUGAACAGGCACUUAAAAGUGUGUCAUAAAUCAUUAAGAUAUAAAUUGAAAAAUAAUGUUAUUNNNNNNNNNNNNNNNNNNNNNNNNNNNNNNNNNNNNNNNNNNNNNNNNNNNNNNNNNNNNNNNNNNNNNNNNNNNNNNNNNNNNNNNNNNNNNNNNNNNNNNNNNNNNNNNNNNNNNNNNNNNNNNNNNNNNNNNNNNNNNNNNNNNNNNNNNNNNNNNNNNNNNNNNNNNNNNNNNNNNNNNNNNNNNNNNNNNNNNNNNNNNNNNNNNNNNNNNNNNNNNNNNNNNNNNNNNNNNNNNNNNNNNNNNNNNNNNNNNNNNNNNNNNNNNNNNNNNNNNNNNNNNNNNNNNNNNNNNNNNNNNNNNNNNNNNNNNNNNNNNNNNNNNNNNNNNNNNNNNNNNNNNNNNNNNNNNNNNNNNNNNNNNNNNNNNNNNNNNNNNNNNNNNNNNNNNNNNNNNNNNNNNNNNNNNNNNNNNNNNNNNNNNNNNNNNNNNNNNNNNNNNNNNNNNNNNNNNNNNNNNNNNNNNNNNNNNNNNNNNNNNNNNNNNNNNNNNNNNNNNNNNNNNNNNNNNNNNNNNNNNNNNNNNNNNNNNNNNNNNNNNNNNNNNNNNNNNNNNNNNNNNNNNNNNNNNNNNNNNNNNNNNNNNNNNNNNNNNNNNNNNNNNNNNNNNNNNNNNNNNNNNNNNNNNNNNNNNNNNNNNNNNNNNNNNNNNNNNNNNNNNNNNNNNNNNNNNNNNNNNNNNNNNNNNNNNNNNNNNNNNNNNNNNNNNNNNNNNNNNNNNNNNNNNNNNNNNNNNNNNNNNNNNNNNNNNNNNNNNNNNNNNNNNNNNNNNNNNNNNNNNNNNNNNNNNNNNNNNNNNNNNNNNNNNNNNNNNNNNNNNNNNNNNNNNNNNNNNNNNNNNNNNNNNNNNNNNNNNNNNNNNNNNNNNNNNNNNNNNNNNNNNNNNNNNNNNNNNNNNNNNNNNNNNNNNNNNNNNNNNNNNNNNNNNNNNNNNNNNNNNNNNNNNNNNNNNNNNNNNNNNNNNNNNNNNNNNNNNNNNNNNNNNNNNNNNNNNNNNNNNNNNNNNNNNNNNNNNNNNNNNNNNNNNNNNNNNNNNNNNNNNNNNNNNNNNNNNNNNNNNNNNNNNNNNNNNNNNNNNNNNNNNNNNNNNNNNNNNNNNNNNNNNNNNNNNNNNNNNNNNNNNNNNNNNNNNNNNNNNNNNNNNNNNNNNNNNNNNNNNNNNNNNNNNNNNNNNNNNNNNNNNNNNNNNNNNNNNNNNNNNNNNNNNNNNNNNNNNNNNNNNNNNNNNNNNNNNNNNNNNNNNNNNNNNNNNNNNNNNNNNNNNNNNNNNNNNNNNNNNNNNNNNNNNNNNNNNNNNNNNNNNNNNNNNNNNNNNNNNNNNNNNNNNNNNNNNNNNNNNNNNNNNNNNNNNNNNNNNNNNNNNNNNNNNNNNNNNNNNNNNNNNNNNNNNNNNNNNNNNNNNNNNNNNNNNNNNNNNNNNNNNNNNNNNNNNNNNNNNNNNNNNNNNNNNNNNNNNNNNNNNNNNNNNNNNNNNNNNNNNNNNNNNNNNNNNNNNNNNNNNNNNNNNNNNNNNNNNNNNNNNNNNNUAAUUUCGUUAGAAUGUAUGGGUUAACAGAGAGCAGUUAUUCAGACAAAAGUGCAGCACGAACCAUCUACCACCUCAUCAUUUCAAAGCAUCCAUCUUUCAUGCUGUUGUAUUGAGAGUGUAAGACUAAAUAAAAGCCAUCCAUCUUGAUGCUAAUCAGUAUCUGAUUAAAAAAUAAAUUGUUAGAUGAUACAUGACCCGGGGGGCAUAUGCCAUUUAAAAUAGCCUGCCAAGGAUUCCUCCUGUACAAAAACAAGGGGGAGGGCAAGGAUGCCUUCAAAAAGAACAAAAAUUAACAGGUACUCUCCUGCUGAGGAUUUGCAUAUGGGUUUGAUGAAACAUCUACAGCACUGCGAUCAUAUCGCUUCUCGAGCUUCUCGUAUUCUCUAGCUAUCUGAAUAUCAUUAGGUUGCAAGUAUGCACCGAAUACCCUAAUCACAAAUCGUGGAAGCAAGGCUAGCACCAAGAUGCAGAGGAAGCAGAGCCAAAAUGUCUUGGAAGCCAUUAGAUGAUUGGCAGCCCUGACACAAAAAUAAAGCUCAAACAUUUUAAUCAAGGACAGCAAAAUUUGUUUCGCAUACAUAUAUUUAGAAAUAUGCCAGCCAGCAUGCAUGGUUUUCGUCUCUUGCAACAUUACUAAGCAAAUAUCAUCAGUACAAGCAGUAAACUUCACGAAGCAUAACAUAUAUACGACAUGCCAACCUAAACAUCUUCCAUUACGAGAAAAAAAAUUCUAUGCAGGUAAACCAAAAGUCGAGUGGAAUUACCAGUAACCGGGCAUUGAAGGUGAGGCAUCUAUUGCAAUGACACAGGCAAAAGUUACAGCCGUGCAGCCCCAUAUCGUUGCAUGCAGAAUCCAGUUCCACCGAAACACGUCCAUUGCUAGGUGAACAUUAACCAACACGACCACUGAAAGAAUCCACAUGUCUCCUAAGCUGGAAGUAUCUAAGCUACUAUGGUUAUAGGCAAAUAAGGGGACAUAAAACAAGACAAAGCUUUGCCAAAGGGAGUCCAACAUGAUCAACACAAACAACUUCAGGUUAUAAUUUCCAUCUCUAAGCCCAGGUCCAUAGAGCUGGGAGUACUUCAAAAGAGUCCUCCUACUCAAGUCUUGGUCGUAAAUUCCAACCAUAACUGUUGGAAGAGCAGUAUAGACUGCAGAAUAUAGCAGCCCACUCGUGUCAGUGAUUGUAUUUGACAAACUGAAUGCUGAAUAAAAAUUAUACCUGCAGUAAACAGCUUAUGAGUUCAGUUAUUUCAUAUUAAAUCACAUAUAAAACUAGCUCAAUGAUUUAAAAAUAGCAUAGCAGAAACCUUCCUCUUUUUGGUCUUUACUAGUUUGGGUAAAAUGUAGCAUCUGUCCUGAGAAUGGCUAUAAACCAAUAUAAGUGUAUAUGGGGCCACAUUAAGCUACUCAAAUACAUGAAUAAAUUUACAUGUUGAUGCUGUAUGCAUGAAUCUGCAACAUCUUAUAUAUAACACAAUAGUAUUGGCUGAACUAAACUGUCACUGAAGAGGGUAUAAUGGUCUUUCACCCCUAUGUGAUAUCAUUGACAAAUAUAGCUCAUGUCAAGUAAAUUAAUCAUGCAAAUAUUAUCUAAUGUCUUUAUCACAUUGAUAUGUAUCAUGAAUAUUUAAAAAUAUUUAAAAAUUCUAACAAUAACUAUGUUUUCAUAAAUAUUUAAAAAUUUACCUAUUAAUGAGGAAAAUAUCCAUGAACACUGAAACCACUAAAUACCAGUGUUUUACACAAGAGACUAAUUAGAUGACCAGGAUAUAUAAAACUUGUUUUGGGCCAAGACAUGGGGAUACUAAUCUUAAGAAACCUUGAGUAUUUUUAGUCUUAGGGAACAUGCUUUCCCAAUUUAAGGCCUUGUCCACCUUAUCUGCAACUCUUCUGAUAUUAAAUAUUCAUAGUUGUCACACCCCUAAUCCUCUACUCAAGCUGGGCACGUGACAUAGCAGCACAUUCCAUAAGCAUAGCCCAGAGAAUAUGCAAGGUAUUGAAUAUAUUACAAAAUCUCUACAACAUUAGAAAGUAUAUAAUGCAUGAUAGUUAUUUCCAAGAUAAAUUAUUUCCAUUUUUAACAAUCUUUUGGCUAGCCCCACACUCAGUUAUGUACCAAGUAGAUCUUGGGUACUUAUAUAAAGCGAAGGAACCCAAAUAACACCUUCUUUCUAGCCAUUUUAGGUGAAGUCCCGGGAUGUUACAAAUGAUUUUAGGGCGGACCCAACCUAUGGCCCAUAUGGACUAUGGGGCACUACAACACGGGUACUUUUGGAACUGAACACAGGCUAAUCAUGAUGUAUAGUUGGAUUUGACUGGAUUUAGACUCUUAGUCUGACCAGAACAUCAAGGCAUAAAGGAGAGGAGCAUGUAAAAACCCAUGUGGGCAUGCAUUUGGUUCCACAUCGGUUAUACACCAGUUAGAUCUUGGACACAUAUAUAGGGCCAAGGAACCCAAAUAGCACCUUCUAGCUAGCCUUUUAUAUAAGGUCUUGGGUUGCUACAAUAUAUACACAUAUGUACAGACACAUGUUCAAAAGAAUAUAGUUUUCAUAUAAAAUGUUGCAUGUCUAAAUUUAGUGAGCUUGGGAUUUCUAUAGAUUAUUAAUUUCGAAGGGGGAUAAUUUUUCUUAAACUACACUCUACAACAAACACCCAUAUGAUGGGCCUAUGAAAAAUCAAUUUUAAUGGAAAACUACAAGCAAAUAAAGAAGGGACAGCCUCUAUGUGCGGAGGAAAUUUUAUAAAAAAUUGUGGUCCACAUACACCCAUUUUGCCACAUCAAGCAUUUGCUUGAUAGGUUUGGAGAAUCUAUGAAGGACUAAAGAAGAUGGCAACAACUCAGAAACAAGCUGUUCGUUUAGAAAAAGAGGGAAAAAAGACAAGUCGAACAAGCUCCUCAAUCAUCAACAGGUCUGGGUUGUAUCUUUCGCAUGAAAGAAUGAUUGAUCUUCUUUCGCGACAUCGUCCAUCGGAUCAUGCUCCACACAGAUCUUAAAGCACUCCAAACCUUUCUAGUCAUCCGCCUGCACAUUUCUCGAAGCAACCAUUGCACAAUCCGACAGUGGAUUCGCACGAAGGAAGGUGAAUCCUUCUUUCAAGCAAAAGAUACAACCUUGUCCCAUCAUCAACCUUUCCCCCGUUUUUAAACUUCAAAAAUGUGAUUGUGUUCUUUAAUAUGUCGAGGUAGUAAAAGAAUUUAAUGAUUGAUAGUUUUUACUCUAGCAACUCUCCAUUAUAAGUUAUCUUUCUCUUUCAUUUCUGUUUUGUGUUAUCUCCUUUUCAAGGUACCAUGACCUUCACAAGAUCAUGGGGACUCAAAAUCCCUCCAAAAUAACAAGAUUUAUCCCUGUAAGUGAGAUCUUGCAGAUGCAUAUAAUGAGGAAUAAAUUUGUAUGAAAACUAAGUAUCAUAAAAAAGGCUUACCAGAAAGUCAUGAACACAUAGACUGCAUUCCUGUAAAAGUUGUACAGGAUCAUAUAGCUCAUACGAUGGUAAUUCCAAUGGCCAUGGACCAGUAAAAGAGGGACUAAAAAUCUGAACUGCGCCAUGGAAAAAUCUGAAGCCAUAACAGCUUGUCGUCCUUCCUGGCCACUGAUCCCAAUCCCAACAUCAGCCAUUUGAAUCAUUGAAACAUCGUUUGCACCUGGAUUUAAUGGGGAAAAGCGAAAAAGAAAAAAAUUAUGCAACUAAUCCAUAACACAAGCCUCACUCACAAGCAAUUUUAUUUUCUAAGAAAUAUAGGAAGAACCCAUGCAAUGAGAGAAUGCUUACCAUCUCCAAUAGAAAGAGUCAUAUCAUCUGUUCUCUUUUUCAUAAGUGCAACUAUUCCAGCCUUUUGCAAUGGAGCCACUCGGCAACACAACACCACGUCACAUAUUGUGGCUACUUUGAACAACUGCACCAUCCAAUUAAGUGAAGCAAGAAAAGAAUUAAUAAAGAGGAGAGGAAAAGAAUGAAGGACAGCUUCAACACUAACCAUGCUAUGAUGUAUGUUUACCUCUUCUUCCAGUUCAGUUUCAAGAAUAUGGACCAAUGAAGGCCCAUCAAUAAUCAAUGCAAGAAGAAUUCCACCUGGAUCCAUUGCCCCCUGAGUAUUAUGUGUUCUGGAAGAUACCGAUGUUAGUUUCUCACACAUGGAAAUUGCAUCUUCAAGACUCUUCCUACAGGAUUCUUUAGAAUGACUGUUUAUAAUGAUCUGGGUCAUUGCAUCCGUUAGGAGCUUACAUGAAUAGCCAAUGGAAAUGGCAGUUUCCUGUUUGUCCCCUGUCAAAACCCAAACCUUUAUUCCUGCUUGCCUGAGAGAUUCUAUGGCUUCAGGCACGCCCUGUUGUAGUUCAUCUUCAAUUCCUGUGGCUCCCAAGAUCUGGAGAUUGCAUUCUACCUUGAGUGCAACAUCGCGGAGUAAAUCUGUCCUUCCAGAUAAUGCAGUACUCGCUUUCUCGUAAGUAAACUGCCAGUCCUCAAACUCUUUGGUACCUAAUUCUCUCAUACCGAUAACCAAAGUUCUGAGACCCAAAGAUGAGUAGCUAUGAAGAUGUUUCUCAGUUUCAUGCAGUAUGUCCAACUCAUGGGAUUUUUCUAGAACACUGAACAUUGCACUGUCUGCACCUUUCACAAAUAACUUAAUUGACUUAUCAGGGCAGGCAACUAUAACUGACAUCCUCUUGCGGUCACUGUCGAACUCAUGAAGGCCCAAAAGCUCGAACCUGCAUUGCCAGUAACAUAAAUCACGAAAUUCACAUUCUGUAAGUGAAAGAUGGUUCUGUGAAAAGAAAAGCUAGUAACAAACUCUAAGCUACAUAUGUAAAAGUUGCUGCUGAAGUAUCACCAGCACCACUACCAGAAGAAUGCUACUGAUGAGAUUGCUAUUGCCAUGACAACCACCAAACUUUCUUACGUGGUGCUACUGACAUGGCUAGUACCAGAAUAAUGGUUGCAAACUUGCAAUACUAUAACAUGCCGUGGGAAAGAUCAUGGUCUACUAUCAAAGUGCAUACUUCAAGGUACACAGGUUUUAGAUGAUUUUAAUGUGGUCAUACAUUUCUCAACACAAUGUUGAUGCAAAUCAGACUUAAGAUGGCAUAUAAUUGAGCUCAGACCUUCCUGCCAAUGCAUUACAUAGCUUAGGCUUUUCCCAUCUGUCAUUUAUGGACUAAGAGAAUUACUAUGUGAAUAGAUUUUUCAGUUACUUUGAAUGGAUGUUAAGUGGCUUUCUUGGAAAGCAAAGAGGCCUAUGCAGAGGGACACCAUCUCAUCCUCCUUUUUUGAUGCUCAAGGAGAUAAAGAACUUUGUACAAAGAAUGAGUGUUGACAGCCAAUUAAAAGACUUUGAAUCCAACCAGAGCAAAUAAAUACUUAAUUCAAAAUGGCUUUUAGAAAUUCUCUAACCCCCCUAUGUUGAGGAUAUAAUCUAAUCCUAAAAAUCAAGAUGAUUCUAACAUGCCAUCAGCUUCUUCCAGCAAGCAAAAUCACCACUAGCAGCAACCCAUGAUGGUGAGGCUCAUGGAAGGAAACUGGUUUGAAAAGGGGGCAUCCAUGCAGACGGAGUUCACCUUGAUGUGUCUGGGUUUACUGUAUCUAUACGUAUCUAUACGGUGACACCUACAUUGCAAGAUUGGCAAUGCCAUCAUCAAAGUUUUAAGAAAAGGAAUAAAAGUUAACAGGGAAAUAAUCGACCAUGAAAGGUUAAGAAACUCUAAAUUAAUUGUGUUUUAUCAAAUUUUCCAUUUCAAUUGCUACUCAAAUUUCUCAAACCUUGGCCUGUGCAAAAGGAAUCAAGGUGAAUAUUGAUGGCUAUUGCAGUAGAUACAGGGUGAAUGAUGGAUGACAUAGGCAAUACACCCGACAUUUUGGAGUUGAAUGUGCAAAUCAGAUAGGGCAUGCAUGGGUUCAUAAUGCUCGACAGGAUGAACACAAGUAUCUUCAGAAAUGGUCAACUGAAUUAGCAACAGUUCACAAAACAUUCAGAGAAAUCUAUCGGCAUUAAGUGCAAAAAAAUGACCAAUAUGUAGAGAGCCUGCAUAUUCAAUGUGGGGAAAUAGAAUUUAAUUUCUCACUAUAUUUACAUUGCACCGAAUUUUUCUUUCCUCAUCUGUUUGAGCACAUACUGUCUUACCAUAUACAAACAAGCAUGGGCAUUAUGUGCAUAAUAGUAAUACAGUGCAUAGCUAGUGACCAGGACUUAUGACAAACUUCAAGCAUACAACUCUAAAAUUAUUUCAAAUAAUGCAGACUUAAAUGAGAAUAUGUGACCUCUCUUAGAGAUGAUAACAGAUUGUAGAGAUCAUUAUACAGAAACCACGUCUGCAUUAGGUUUAUUUUUGCCUGUUAAUUGCUAAACUAGGAAUAAAUAAGCCAUAUUAUGAAACUUUGGAAGACGGUGACUGACCACAAACCAAGGUGCAACACAAAAAUAUUGGAGAACUAAUUUGAUUUUAUGCCAGAAAGCUCGACAAUGGAAAUUAUUUUUCUCUUUUAAAAGUUAAUGAAAAAGUAAAGAGAAAAAGAUAAAAUUUCAUAUGAUUUUUAUUGAUCUAGAGAAAGCAUAUGAUAGAGUCCCUAGAGAAGUCCUACAGUAGAUUAUAGAAAAGAAAGAAGUUUUUCACAAAUAUAUUAAUGUGAUUUAGAAGAUAUAUGAUGGAGAGUUUACUAGUUUGAGAACUAAUGGAGGUAAUACUAGGGAAUAUCCAAUGGCAAUAGGUUUGCAUAAAUGAUCUGCUCUAGGUCCUUACUCUUUUAUGCUAGUUAUAUAUCUAUUCCAUGGUGCAUGCUAUUUGCAGAUGAUAUAGUCUUAAUGGACAAAACUAGGAUUGAACAGAUUAACCGUAAGUUGGAAUAUAGAUGAGGGCAUUAGAAUCCAAGAAUUUUAGGUAAGUAGGACCAAGACGAAAUAUACGGAAUAUAAUCUUAGUAAAAUUAAGGAUAGAGAUGAAGGUGAUCAUGAAGUGUCUGAAAGCGAUCAUUUUUAAUAAUUUAGGAUCAAUUAUUAUGUGAAAAGUAAAACUAGAAUAUUAUAUGAUCGUAGAAUAUUUGCCAAAUUCAAAAAAAAAUAUAGGAUAACUCAUACAACCAACUAUUCUUCAUGGUGGAGAAUGUUGGACAAUUAAAAAAAUAAGAUGUCUACAAAAUGAGCAUGACUAAAAUGAGAAUGUUAAGAUGGAUGUAUUACAAUAAAAGAAAAGAUAGAAUAAGAAAUGAAGUCAUUCGUAACAAAGUAGAAGUAGCAUCAAUUAAGAACAAAUUGAGAGAAUGAAAGUUUAGAUGGUUAUGCGCUAGCACGAAGAAGUGAUUUGAUAUAUGUAGAAGGAAAGCAAAGGUAGACCGAAAAUUAUAUGGAUUUAGACAUUAAAGAAGAACUUGACAUCUCAACAUCUCCCGAAAAUAUGGCCCAAAACUGAGUUAGAUGAAGGAGAAGCAUAGCUAACCCCAACUAAUUUGGAAUUAAAGCUUAAUUGAGUUGAGAAUUUUAAAUCAAGAAUAAAUGCACUAUAGUACAAGAAAGCUUUGAAUGGCAGGAAUACCAUCAAAGUACAGGGCUUUGUUUGGAUCGUGAUGUACGAAAGAAUUCUAACUAAAAAAAAAAUCUUAAUUCUCUCAAUCAACACUAUGUUCUAAAAAAAAGGGGGACAUUUGGCCAUUUGCUGGUAAAUUUUCAAAAGGUACGAGGGAUCUGACCUUCCUAGUUGAAAAGGAAAAACUUAGACAACCCGACCAACCAAUACUAUUUAUAUGGAAUCCAAAUACAUGUGGGAGGGGGUAAGGACAGGAUUGCUUAAGCGAUCACCUCUAAAAUCUGAUAAAAAUAUGGAUAAUAAUCUGCCUGUGAAGAUGUUUAGACUGAAGUAGACAAAGUAACAUAAAGAUCUGAAUUAGGAUAAGUUAUGUCGCAGGUAGAAGCUAAUUUUUUAAAGCAUGUCAGCAGUGGUGAUGUCUUGGAUCGCUAGAAGAACUUGACGACCAAACCCAUUCCACAUGGCACCUCUUCGAUGUGCUCCCGUAUUGGGAUCAUCCGUUGCUCCUGAUUUUGUUUCAUCUUUUUAACCUAUUAAUCAUUUUGAGAACAGAUUUGAUUUUUAUUCAAGGUUCCAUAAUGAUAAUUUGAACUCAUAAGACUACUUAUAUCCAAUUCCAUGUGUUAUACCACCCUCAAUCAAUAAAACCAUGACUGGUGUGCUCAUAACUUUGCUUGAAGUCAAUAAACAUGCAAUCAUCCAAAGCAAUAAGGUAACAUGCUACGAUCAAAGGAAAACCAGAUCUAGAAUUAUCAGUUCUACUUGAAAUGUUGCUACAGCAAGCACCAGCUGAUGAAGGGAGCAUAAUGGGAUAAAAUCAUGGAGCAUAUCAAGUGGCAAGUAAGAAAGAAAAGAGUACCUCU
Molecule: long non-coding RNA, 61510 nt
Filed under: Phoenix dactylifera (date palm)
Lineage: Eukaryota; Viridiplantae; Streptophyta; Magnoliopsida; Arecales; Arecaceae
Description: long non-coding RNA (PDAC_LNC000604)
Source: RNAcentral